This 77831-nucleotide long non-coding RNA is filed under the name Triticum aestivum (bread wheat). RNAcentral describes it as "long non-coding RNA (TAES_LNC006331)". Lineage: Eukaryota; Viridiplantae; Streptophyta; Magnoliopsida; Poales; Poaceae. The record is from RNAcentral.
UUUUUUUUUUGUGAAAUUUGAGAAGAGAAGGGUCAAAACUCUACGUCAGGAUGCCUUACCAGAGCGAUGAGGAGGCUGGGAAGUAAAAAGAAUUCCUAAGCUCUCCGAUAUAUAAUUCCUAAGGACUCAAAACAUUUUUCUAGACACAACUCGGCUGCUAAAAAUGAUCAAGCAAUGGGGCUCCUAAGGUCGGGGAAGGCUCUGAUUACCAACUUGUAACGCCCUCGAUGCGGCUAUAGCUCCCACGUGUCGAGGCACGACUUAGAGACAUAACCGCAUUGAAAGCAAUGUCGCAAGUCAGGCAAUCAUUACAACAUCCCAUGUAAUAUAUAAUAAAAGAGGGAGAUAACAUAGUUGGCUUACACUCGCCACGUCACAUCAGAGUACAUAAAUAACAUCCAUCAAACAAACACUCAUGGCCCGACUACGGCGCCAAAAUAGAAAAGAACCCAACGUGCGACAAGGCCCUGAAUCGAUAACCCCAACUAGGCACCACUACUGAUCAUCCGGAAAAGACACGUAGUAUCGCUGAGAGUCCUCGUCGAACUCCCACUUGAGCUCGUAAUCGUCAACUGGAGCAGAAACACCUGGACCUGCAUCUGGAGUUGUAGUAUCUGUGAGCCACAGGGACUCAGCAAUCUCGCACCCUCGCGAUCAAAACUAUUUAAGCUCAUAGGAAUGGAUAAGGCAAAUAUAUGUGGAGCUGCAGCAAGCGACUAGCAUAUGUGGUGGCUAACUUAUACGCAAAAGAGAGCGAGAAGAGAAGGCGAAGCAUGAGCGAGAAACUAAGGAACAUCCUGCGCAAGCAUAACUCCAACUCCGUGUCCACUUCCCGAACUCCGCCGAGAAGGGGCCAUCACGGUAACACACACGGUUGAUUCAUUUUAAUUGAGUUUAGUUAAAGUUAUCUACAACCGAACAUUAACAAAUUCCCAUCUGCCCAUAACCGCGGGCACGGCUUUCGAAAGAUCAAUCCCUGCAGGGGAGUCCCAACUUAGCCCAUGACAAGCUCUCACGGUCAACGAAGGAAUAUACCUCCUCCCAAGACGUUCCGAUCAGACUCGGUAUCUCGGUAACUCAAGACACUUCGACAGGUUAAAACAAGACCAGCAACACCGCCCGAAUGUGCCGACAAAUCCUGAUAGGAGCUGCACAUAUCUCUUUCUCAGGGCACACUCAGAUUGUCCUAGGUACGGGUAGGCCAGCCCAGAGUUGCCCCUGGUAGCCACCGGUAGCUGACAGGUGGACCAACACUCAGAGGAGCACUGGCCCGGGGGGGUAAAAUAAGAUGACCUUUGAGUCUGCAGAACCCAAGGGAAAGAAAAGGCUAGGUGGCAAAUGGUAAAAUCAAGGUUGGGCAUUGCUGGACAAGCUUUAAUCAAGGCGAAAUAUCAAGGGGUUCCCAUUAUAACCCAACCGCGUAAGGGACACAACAAUCCGGGAACAUAACACCGAUAUGACGGAAACUAGGGCGGCAAGAGUGGAACAAAACACUAGGCGAGAGGCCAAGCCUUCCACCCUUUACCAAGUAUAUAGAUGCAUUAAGAUAACAUAGCAAUAUAAUGAUAUCCCAACAAGUAAAUAAAUGUUCCAACAAGGAACGGCUCCAAUCUUCACCUGCAACUAACAACGCUAUAAGAAGGGCUGAGCAAAGCGGUAACAUAGCCAAUCAACGGUUUGCUAGGACAAUGGUGGGUUAGAGGUUCAACAUGGCAAUUGGGAGGCUGACAAGCAAAAGGUAGGCAUCGUAGCAGUGGCAAAGCAAAAGAGCGAGCAAACUAGCAUAGCAAAGAUAGUAGUGAUUUCGAGGGUAUGAUCAUCUUGCCUGCACAGUUGUCAGAGUUGGCUGGAUCCUCACAAGCAAACUCAACGGGCUCCUUGGUAGUGAACUCGUCUCCCGGCUCUACCCAACAAGACAAACAAGCAACAAGGAUACAAUCAACCACGGGCAAGACCAAGCAAUAUGAUGAAAUGACGAUAUGCUAUGCGGGAUGCGAUGCGGGAUGCAAAAUGCCAGAUAUGACAGGAAAUGCAUGAACCUGGCAUCAACUUGGAAAACCAAGUGUGCCACUGGAUAGAGGGGAUGAAAUCGCUUGAAAACGAUAUAAAGAUCAUUGGAAUCGGAGCUACGGUUUGGAAAUGGCAAGCGUUUUAAGAUAUGACACCGGUCUGCGAUUUACAGCAAGUAGGCAUCUAAAUGCAACGAAAUGAACAUGCUACAACCACCAAACAUGAAAACAAAAUACAUGGCAGUGAUGUACACAAGAUGGUUAACAAAACACUAGCACUGAGACAUAGGCAAAUUCGUCCAUUAAGAGGUUCAAACAAGCAUGGAAAAAAUGAAUAUGCAAAACAGAUUUCAGACUUUGUGAAAUUAACACUAGCCUGAAAUUUCAGAUCACGAAGCCCUCUUCGGAGCAGCAAAACAACAUGAUACAAAACCUGAACAUGACAAGUAAUAACAUGGCAUGGAGAUACUCAACAAGCUUAACAAAACACCCAAAGUGACCUGGGGCCAAAAGGGUUCACAAAAUACUCUACCGAGCUCACGAACAUAGCUCGAACACAAUCAGUUUUCAGACUUAAUGAAAACUGAGGCAUGCAGAAAUUUAACUCACGAAGGCAUGUAAACGAGCUCGAUGCACUCACUACGUUGCAAGUCAUGGCAAGGAAAGCAUAUGACCAGCAAGAAGGCACAAUGUGCUAGCUACACAUGGCAAGAACAAAGGCAUAGCAUGCAUGGAACACUAACGGUAGCAUCGGCAAAAUCGCAAACAAGUUGAUGAACUGCCCAGAUUAACAACGAAGCAAAAGUUGAGCUCGAUUGAGUCAACCUAGAGCACUCCACAUAUGUAAACAAAGACAUGGAUGGAUAGAGCAUAACAUAAAUAUCAAAACUCCCUUACUGAUCAUCCUCAAAAGAGGCACAUAUCACUAGGAAACAAGCUGGACAUAUAGCAUCAUGAACUAAAAUAUCCCAGACUUAGUGAAAAUCACUAAGUCUCUGAAAUCAGCAAUCUCAGGUACCUCUCUUCGCAAGCUUGCACAAGACAACACACACAUCCUAAAAAUGCAUGGGUGGCACCUCUGGAAAGAAGGCAAAAUGCUUAACAAUUCAUCCCAAAGGGUCACAGGCAUAUCAUGCACGAAUUAAACAUGGCAAAAAUGACAAAAGUGCAAGAUGAACUAACGGAUCUGCAAUUUAACUCAUGAAGCCUCCUUCUAACAGCAUUUUGGGCAUCAAGAUGACCUCAAAUGCAAAUGAUGCAAUGGAAUGAAAUGACGCACUCGUCGAGGCGAACAUUUUGAUAUAUUAUAUGCCCAAAACGGAGCAUACGGAUGCGGAGAUAUCAUCAGUCAAAGUUUGCUUAAAAAUUAAGGGGGAGAGGAAAAAGUCAACCCUCAGUUUUUAGAUCUCAGAUCUAGGGUUCGGGCACUGUUCACGGCGGCACUGUAGCAGCUCGGCGCCGGAGUUCGCGCUCGCCGGAGAAGCACGCCAGAGGAGAGGAGGAGCUCGCCGGAGGUGGGGACGUCGCCGGAUCCGGGGCCGGUCGGAGGAGGCGCCGGCGUUGGUGGUGCUUGCGGGCGCGGAAGCCGAGGAGAACGGCAGCCGACUCGGCGGAGUGGAGUGGAGGCGCGGCGGCGCUCGCGGUGGCGGGUGGCGUCUCCGGCCACCGGAGCCUGAAGAGACGGCGGCGAGGUGGAACGCGCGGGGCGCGGGGCACUCGGGCUCGCGGGGGCCCCUCCUGGGCCUCCCGGGCCGGCGGCGGGGAAGAGGAGCGGCGCCACGUGGCAGCACCUGAGUGGCGGAGGCGGGCGGCGGCGGACGAUGUUUUUUUUUUGAACUAGGGUUUCGGGGGAGAAGACGAAUCCGAAAAAUGGAGGGGCUAUUUAUAGGCAUAAGUAGAGCUAGGAGAGUCCAAAUGAGGUGCGGUUUUCGGCCACGCUAUCGUGAUCGAACGCUCUAGGACAUGGAGCAGAGUUUGGUGGGUUUUGGGCCAAAUUUGGGGGGUGUUAGGCUGCAACACACACGAGGCCUUUUCGGUCCCUCGGUUAACCGUUGGAGUAUCAAACGAAGUCCAAAUGAUACGAAACUUGACAGGCGGUCUACCGGUAGUAAACCAAGGCCGCAUGACAAGUCUCAGUCCAGUCCGGAAAUGUUUGAACCCACACAUGAAAGAAAGCUGGAAAUGGCCACCGGAGGAGAACGAAGCGCCGGAAUGCAAAACGGACAACGGAGAAAAUGCUCAAAUGCAUGAGAUGAACAUGUAUGCAAAUGCGAUGCACGAGAUGACAUGAUAAGAGAUGCACGAAAAAGAAAACAACACACGGAGACAAAGACCCGAACCCGAGAAAUAAAUAUAACUUAGCGCCGGAGACGGCAAGAGUUGGAUACAAAUAUGGAAAUUAUAUCUGGGGCGUUACAACAACGUAUGUUGUUAUGCAGUCUGACCGAUAAAGAUCUUCGUAGAAUAUGUAGGAGCCAAUAUGGGCAUCCAGGUCCCGCUAUUGGUUAUUGACCAGAGAGGUGUCUCGGUCAUGUCUACAUAGUUCUCGAACCCGUAGGGUCCGCACGCUUAACGUUCGUUGACGAUAUAGUACUAUGUGAGUUAUGUAUGUUGGUGACCGAAUGUUGUUAGGAGUCCGGGAUGAGAUCACGGACAUGACGAGGAACUCCGGAAUGGUCCGGAGAUAAAGUUUGAUAUAUGUGAUAAUAGUGUUUUGUCACCGGAAGGGUUCCGGAAAUCACCGGAAGGGGUUCCGGAUGUUUCUCGAAAUGUUUGGGUACGAGAACACGUUAUUUGGGCCAAAGCAGAAAGCCCACAAGGUUUUUGGAAAGCGCAAAAGGAAGUUUUGCGGAGUCCAGGGGCCAGACGCCAGGGUCCCUGGCGUGUGGGUCCAGACGCCGGGAACCCUGGCGUCUGGCCCUGGAGUCCGAGAAGGACUCUUGCCUUUCGGGUGAAACCGACUUUGUGGAGGCUUUUACUCCAAGUUUCGACCCCAGGGCUCAACAUAUAAAUAGAGGGGCAGGGCUAGCACAAAGGACACAUCAAGAAACAGCAAGCCGUGUGCCGGCAACCCCGUCUCCUCUAGUUUAUCCUCUGUCAUAGUUUUCGUAGUGCUUAGGCGAAGCCCUGCGGAAAUUGUUCUUCACCAACACCGUCACCACGCCGUUGUGCUACCGGAACUCAUCUACUACUUCGCCCCUCUUGCUGGAUUGAGAAGGCGAGGACGUCACCGAGCCGAACGUGUGCAGAACUCGGAGGUGCCGUGCUUUCGGUACUUGGAUCGGUCGGACGUGAAGACGUACGACUACAUCAACCGCGUUGAUUUAACGCUUCCGCGUGCGAUCUACAAGGGUACGUAGAUCAUACUCUCCCUUCUCGUUGCUAUGCAUCACCAUGAUCUUGCGUGUGCGUAGGAAAUUUUUUGAAAUUACUACGUUCCCCAACAGUGGCAUCCGAGCCUAGGUUAUUUAUGUUGAUGUUAUAUGCACGAGUAGAACACAAGUGAGUUGUGGGCGAUAUAAGUCAUACAGCCUACCAGCAUGUCAUACUUUGGUUCGGCGGCAUUGUUGGAUGAGACGACCCGGACCAACAUUACGCGUACGCUUACGCGAGACCGGUUCCCCCGACGUGCUUUGCACAUAGGUGGCUUGCGGGCGACUGUCUCUCCAACUUUAGUUGAACCAGGUAUGGCUACGCCCGGUCCUUGCGAAGGUUAAAACGGAGUCUAUUUGACAAACUAUCGUUGUGGUUUUGAUGCGUAGGUGAGAUUGGUUCUUGCUUAAGCCCGUAGCAGCCACGUAAAACUUGCAACAACAAAGUAGAGGACGUCUAACUUGUUUUUGCAGGACAUGUUGUGAUGUGAUAUGGUCAAGACAUGAUGCUGAAUUUUAUUGUAUGAGAUGAUCAUGUUUUGUAACCGAGUUAUCGGCAACUGGCAGGAGCCAUAUGGUUGUCGCUUUAUUGUAUGCAAUGCAAUAGCGAUGUAAUGCUUUACUUUAUUACUAAGCGGUAGUGAUAGUCGUAGAAGCAUAAGCUUGGCGAGACGACAACGAUGCUACGAUGGAGAUCAAGGUGUCACGCCGGUGACGAUGGUGAUCACGACGAUGCUUCGGAGAUGGAGAUCACAAGCACAAGAUGAUGAUGGCCAUAUCAUAUCACUUAUAUUGAUUGCAUGUGAUGUUUAUCCUUUUAUGCAUCUUAUCUUGCUUUGAUUGACGGUAGCAUUAUAAGAUGAUCUCUCACUAAAUUAUCAAGAAGUGUUCUCCCUAAGUAUGCACCGUUGCGAAAGUUCUUCGUGCUGAGACACCACGUGAUGAUCGGGUGUGAUAGGUUCUACGUUCAAAUACAACGGGUGCAAGCCAGUUUUGCACACGUGGAAUACUCAGGUUAUACUUGACGAGCCAAGCAUAUACAGAUAUGGCCUCGGAACACGGAGACCGAAAGGUCGAGCGUGAAUCAUAUAGUAGAUAUGAUCAACAUAGUGAUGUUCACCAUUGAAAACUACUCCAUUUCACGUGAUGAUCGGUUAUGGUUUAGUUGAUUUGGAUCACGUAAUCACUUAGAGGAUUAGAGGGAUGUCUAUCUAAGUGGGAGUUCUUUAACUAAAUUGAUUAACUGAACUUAAAUUUAUCAUGAAACUUAGUACCUGAUUAGUAUCUUGCUUGUUUAUGUUUGAUUGUAGAUAGAUGGCUCGUGCUGUUGUUUCGUUGAAUUUUAAUGCGUUCCUUGAGAAAGCAAAGUUGAAAGAUGAUGGUAGCAAUUACACGGACUGGGUCCGUAACUUGAGGAUUAUCCUCAUUGCUACACAGAAGAAUUACGUCCUGGAAGCACCGCUGGGUGCCAGGCCUACUGCAGGAGCAACGCCGGAUGUUAUGAACGUCUGGCAGAGCAAAGCUAAUGACCACUCGAUAGUUCAGUGUGCCAUGCUUUACGGCUUAGAAUCGGGACUUCAACGACGUUUUGAACGUCAUGGAGCAUAUGAGAUGUUCCAGGAGUUGAAGUUAAUAUUUCAAGCAAAUGCCCGGAUUGAGAGAUAUGAAGUCUCCAACAAGUUCUAUAGCUGCAAGGUGGAGGAGAACAGUUCUGUCAGUGAGCAUAUACUCAAAAUGUCUGGGUAUAAUAAUCACUUGAUUCAAUUGGGAGUUAAUCUCCCAGAUGAUUGCGUCAUUGACAGAAUUCUUCAAUCACUGCCACCAAGCUACAAGAGCUUCGUGAUGAACUAUAAUAUGCAAGGGAUGAACAAGACUAUUCCCGAGCUCUUCGUGAUGCUGAAAGCUGCGGAGGUAGAAAUCAAGAAGGAGCAUCAAGUGUUGAUGGUCAACAAGACCACUAGUUUCAAGAAAAAGGGCAAAGGGAAGAAGAAGGGGAACUUCAAAAAGAACGGCAAGCAAGUUGCUACUCAAGAGAAGAAACCCAAACCUGGACCUAAGCCUGAAACUGAGUGCUUCUAUUGCAAGCAGACUGGUCACUGGAAGCGGAACUGCCCCAAGUAUUUGGCGGAUAAGAAGGAUGGCAAGGUGAACAAAGGUAUAUGUGAUAUACAUGUUAUUGAUGUGUACCUUACUAAUGCUCGCAGUAGCACUUGGGUAUUUGAUACUGGUUUUGUUGCUAAUAUUUGCAACUCAAAACAGGGACUACGGAUCAAGCGAAGAUUGGUUAAGGACGAGGUGACGAUGCGCGUGGGAAACGGUUCCAAAGUCGAUGUGAUCGCAGUCGGCACGCUACCUCUACAUCUACCUUCGGGAUUAGUAUUAGACCUAAAUAAUUGUUAUUUGGUGCCAGCGUUAAGCAUGAACAUUAUAUCUGGAUCUUGUUUGAUGCGAGACGGUUAUUCAUUUAAAUCAGAGAAUAAUGGUUGUUCUAUUUAUAUGAGUAAUAUCUUUUAUGGUCAUGCACCCUUGAAGAGUGGUCUAUUCUUGUUGAAUCUCGAUAGUAGUAACACACAUAUUCAUAAUGUUGAAGCCAAAAGAUGCAGAGUUGAUAAUGAGAGUGCAACUUAUUUGUGGCACUGCCGUUUAGGUCAUAUCGGUGUAAAGCGCAUGAAGAAACUCCAUUCUGAUGGACUUUUGGAACCACUUGAUUAUGAAUCACUUGGUACUUGCGAACCGUGCUUCAUGGGCAAGAUGGCAAAAACGCCGUUCUCCGGUACUAUGAAGAGAGCAACAGAUUUGUUGGAAAUCAUACAUACAGAUGUAUGUGGUCCGAUGAAUAUUGAGGCUCGUGGUGGAUAUCGUUAUUUUCUCACCUUCACAGAUGAUUUAAGCAGAUAUGGGUAUAUCUACUUAAUGAAACAUAAGUCUGAAACAUUUGAAAAGUUCAAGGAAUUUCAGAGUGAAGUUGAAAAUCAUCGUAACAAGAAAAUAAAGUUUCUACGAUCUGAUCGUGGAGGAGAAUAUUUGAGUUACGAGUUUGGUGUACAUUUGAAAAAUUGUGGAAUAGUUUCGCAACUCACGCCACCCGGAACACCAUAGCCUAAUGGUGUGUCUGAACGUCGUAAUCGUACUUUACUAGAUAUGGUGCGAUCUAUGAUGUCUCUUACUGAUUUACCGCUAUCGUUUUGGGGAUACGCUCUAGAGACGGCCGCAUUCACGUUAAAUAGGGCACCAUCAAAAUCCGUUGAGACGACGCCUUAUGAACUGUGGUUUGGCAAGAAACCAAAGUUGUUGUUUCUAAAAGUUUGGGGCUGCGAUGCUUAUGUGAAAAAGCUUCAACCUGAUAAGUUCGAACCCAAAUCGGAGAAAUGUGUCUUCAUAGGAUAUCCAAAGGAAACUAUUGGAUACACCUUCUAUCACAGAUCCGAAGGCAAGACUUUUGUUGCUAAAUUCGGAAACUUUCUAGAGAAGGAGUUUCUCUCGAAAGAAGUGAGUGGGAGGAAAGUAGAACUUGACGAGGUAACUGUACCUGCUCCCUUACUGGAAAGUAGUACAUCACAGAAAACUGUUCCAGUGACACCUACACCAGUUAGUGAGAAAGCUAAUGAUAAUGAUCAAUGAUCAUGAAACUUCAGACCAAGAUACUACUGAACCUCGUAGAUCAACCAGAGUAAGAUCCGCGCCAGAGUGGUACGGUAAUCCUGUUUUGAAAGUCAUGCUACUAGAUCAUGAUGAACCUACGAACUAUGAAGAAGCAAUGGUGCGCCCAGAUUCCGCAAAAUGGCUUGAAGCCAUGAAAUCUGAGAUGGGAUCCAUGUAUGAGAAUAAAGUAUGGACUUUGGUUGACUUGCCCGAUGAUCGGCAAGCAAUUGAGAAUAAAUGGAUCUUCAAGAAGAAGACUGACGCUGACGGUAACGUUACUGUCUACAAAGCUCGACUUGUCGCAAAAGGUUUUCGACAAGUUCAAGGGUUGACUACGAUGAGACCUUCUUACCCAUAGCGAUGCUUAAGUCUGUCCGAAUCAUGUUAGCAAUUGCCGCAUUUUAUGAUUAUGAAAUUUGGCAAAUGGAUGUCAAAACUGCAUUCCUGAAUGGAUUUCUGGAAGAAGAGUUGUAUAUGAUGCAACCAGAAGGUUUUGUCGAUCCAAAGGGAGCUAACAAAGUGUGCAAGCUCCAGCGAUCCACUUAUGGACUGGUGCAAGCCUCUCGGAGUUGGAAUAAACGCUUUGAUAGUGUGAUCAAAGCAUUUGGUUUUAUACAGACUUUCGGAGAAGCCUGUAUUUGCAAGAAAAUGAGUGGGAGCUCUGUAGCAUUUCUGAUAUUAUAUGUGGAUGACAUAUUACUAAUUGGAAAUGACAUAGAAUUUCUGGAUAGCAUAAAGGGAUACUUGAAUAAGAGUUUUUCAAUGAAAGACCUCGGUGAAGAUGCUUACAUAUUAGGCAUAAAGAUCUAUAGAGAUAGAUCGAGAUGCUUAAUUGGACUUUCACAAAGCACAUACCUUGACAAGAUUUUGAAGAAGUUCAAAAUGGAUCAAGCAAAGAAAGGAUUCUUGCCUGUGUUACAAGGUGUGAAGUUGAGUAAGACUCAAUGCCCGACCACUGCAGAAGAUAGAGAGAAUAUGAAAGAUGUUCCUUAUGCAUCAGCCAUAGAAUCUAUCAUGUAUGCAAUGUUGUGUACCAGACCCGAUGUGUGCCUUGCUAUAAGUCUAGCAGGGAGGUAUCAAAGUAAUCCAGGAGUGGAUCACUGGACAGCGGUCAAGAACAUCCUGAAAUACCUGAAAAGGACUAAGGAUAUGUUUCUCGUAUAUGAAGGUGACAAAGAGCUCAUCGUAAAUGGUUACAUUGAUGCAAGCUUUGACACUGAUUCGGACGAUUCUAAAUCGCAAACCGGAUACUUGUUUACAUUAAAUGGUGGAGCUGUCAGUUGGUGCAGUUCUAAACAAAGCGUCGUAGCGGGAUCUACAUGUGAAGCGGAGUACAUAGCUGCUUCGGAAGCAGCAAAUGAAGGAGUCUGGAUGAAGGAGUUCAUAUCCGAUCUAGGUGUCAUACCUAGUGCAUCGGGUCCAAUGAAAAUCUUUUGUGACAAUACUGGUGCAAUUGCCUUGGCAAAGGAAUCCAGAUUUCACAAGAGAACCAAGCACAUCAAGAGACGCUUCAAUUCCAUCCGGGAUCUAGUCCAGGUGGGAGACAUAGAGAUUUGCAAGAUACAUACGGAUCUGAAUGUUGCAGACCCGUUGACUAAGCCUCUUCCAUGAGCAAAACAUGAUCAGCACCAAGGCUCCAUGGGUGUUAGAAUCAUUACGGUGUAAUCUAGAUUAUUGACUCUAGUGCAAGUGCGAGACUGAAGGAAAUAUGCCCUAGAGGCAAUAAUAAAGUUAUUAUUUAUUUCCUUAUAAUCAUGAUAAAUGUUUAUUAUUCAUGCUAGAAUUGUAUUAACCGGAAACAUAAUACAUGUGUGAAUACAUAGACAAACAAAGUGUCACUAGUAUGCCUCUACUUGACUAGCUCAUUAAUCAAAGAUGGUUAUGUUUCCUAACCAUGAACAAAGAGUUGUUAUUUGAUUAACGAGGUCACAUCAUUAGUUGAAUGAUCUGAUUGACAUGAUCCAUUCCAUUAGCUUAGCACCCGAUCGUUUAGUAUGUUGCUAUUGCUUUCUUCAUGACUUAUACAUGUUCCUAUAACUAUGAGAUUAUGCAACUCCCGUUUACCGGAGGAACACUUUGGGUACUACCAAACGUCACAACGUAACUGGGUGAUUAUAAAGGAGUACUACAGGUGUCUCCAAAGGUACAUGUUGGGUUGGCGUAUUUCGAGAUUAGGUUUUGUCACUCCGAUUGUCGGAGAGGUAUCUCUGGGCCCUCUCGGUAAUGCACAUCACAUAAGCCUUGAAAGCAUUACAACUAAGAUGUUAGUUGUGAGAUGAUGUAUUACGGAACGAGUAAAGAGACUUGCCGGUAACGAGAUUGAACUAGGUAUUGAAUACCGACGAUCGAAUCUCGGGCAAGUAACAUACCGAUGACAAAGGGAACAACGUAUGUUGUUAUGCGGUCUGACCGAUAAAGAUCUUCGUAGAAUAUGUAGGAGCCAAUAUGGGCAUCCAGGUCCCGCUAUUGGUUAUUGACCAGAGAGGUGUCUCGGUCAUGUCUACAUAGUUCUUGAACCCGUAGGGUCCGCACGCUUAACGUUCGUUGAAGAUAUAGUACUAUGUGAGUUAUGUAUGUUGGUGACCGAAUGUUGUUCGGAGUCCGGGAUGAGAUCAUGGACAUGACGAGGAACUCCGGAAUGGUCCGGAGAUAAAGUUUGAUACUCCCUCCUUCCAUCUAUAUAAGGCCUAAUGCGUUUUUCGAGACUAACUUUGACCAAAUAUUAGAGCAAUAAUAUAUGACAUGCAACUUACACAAAGCACAUCGUCAAAUUUGUAUGUGAAAGGAGCUUUCAAUGAUGUAAUUUUCACAUUAUGCAUGUCAUGUAUUAUUAAUCUUGUCAAUAGUCAAAGGCGGUCUUAAAAAAUGCAUUAGGCCCUAUAUAGAUGGAAGGAGGGAGUAUAUGUGAUAAUAGUGUUUGGUCACCGGAAGGGUUCCGGAAAUCACCGGAAGGGGUUCCGGAUGUUUCCCGAAAUGUUUAGGUACGAGAACACGUUAUUUGGGCCAAAGAGGAAAGCCCACAAGGUUUUUGGAAAGCGCAAAAGGAAGUUUUGCAGAGUCCAGGGGCCAGACGCCAGGGUCCCUGGCGUCUGGGUCCAGACGCCGGGAACCCUGGCGUCUGGCCCUGGAGUCCGAGAAGGACUCUUGCCUUUCGGGUGAAACCGACUUUGUGGAGGCUUUUACUCCAAGUUUCGACCCCAGGGAUCAACAUAUAAAUAGAGGGGCAGGGCUAGCACAAAGGACACAUCAAGAAACACCAAGCCGUGUGCCGGCAACCCCAUCUCCUCUAGUUUAUCCUCUGUCAUAGUUUUCGUAGUGCUUAGGCGAAGCCCUGCGGAAAUUGUUCUUCACCAACACCGUCACCACGCCGUUGUGCUGCCGGAACUCAUCUACUACUUCGCCCCUCUUGCUGGAUCGAGAAGGCGAGGACGUCACCGAGCCGAACGUGUGCAGAACUCGAAGGUGAUGUGCUUUCGGUACUUGGAUCGGUCGGACGUGAAGACGUACGACUACAUCAACCGCGUUGAUUUAACGCUUCCGCGUGCGAUCUACAAGGGUACGUAGAUCAUACUCUCCCCUCUCGUUGCUAUGCAUCACCAUGAUCUUGCGUGUGCGUAGGAUUUUUUUUGAAAUUACAACGUUCCCCAACAGCAAACACCCUAGGACAAGGAUUAUCAUUGAAUACUCUAUUUUGGAGUGAUGGAGACAUCAAUGUCCCUAGUAGGAAAACCCUUGUAGUGGAUACUAUCAAUAAGACUGAUACUACCAUACUUGUUUUUAACUGACCUAGAAAGAGAGCUUUUCUGAUUAUUUUCUUAAGUCAUUAGUUGGUCAUAAGAAUUUCUCCCGGAACCACCUCUCUUCUAAGGGUUUUGAAGCUGGUAUUCUUAUGGGAAUUGAUGAAGACGUCGUUAAUGUUGUUUCUUGGGACGUUAGGGAUUUUUGUAUCCCAUUAUGUCUAUUUUCUACCAUAGAUCGGAUUUAUUUUUGCAACACGGAAUUAGAUAAAAACAUCCCUUCGUUUCUUGCCAGGAUUUACCAAGGACUAGUAGUGAUCACACUGCCAUUCUGUGGGAUUCAUUCUUGCACAAACCUGCUAAGUCUAGUAGUUAUAAGCUAGAAAAGUGGUGGUUGCUUAGAUUUCAAAGAUCUAGUCACUAAGAUCUGGAGGGAACCUACUAAGGGCCAGACUGCUAUUGAUAUUUUGCAGAAUAAGAUUAGGAAGCUUAGAAGAGUUACUGAAGGUUGGGGAUUUAACAUAGAAGCCGAUCUUAGGAAGCUUAAGAAAUAUUUCAUUGAGGAAUAUGAUUUAUGGAUAUCAAAUCUAAGAACUUUGAGCUCUCUACUGAUGAGCAAGCCUACUUUGAGGUGGUUUGUUGUUAAGCACACCUAUGCGAUUUCACCGUUUUUUUAUAAAAAAGUAUAAAUUUUUGACUGAUGCUUUGCUGCACUUUUUAGGGUAAAUCAUGUGGUUUAAAUAUGUUAAUGAUGUGGAGAGUUGGCAAUAAUGAAAGUAUGAUCGCUAGGCCUAAAAAUUGCUUUGGGAGGCCGAGUUCCAUGGAUGCCUUCAUUUGCAAUUUUCAAAAUUCUUUUUUUACAUUUCAAAAAAUUCUAAAAAUAUAUAGAUAUACAUGGAGGUAUAAUGUACAGUGUGUAAAUUUUCAAGACAAAUAUGUUAAAACAAGGGUUGUGAGAAAACAAAUAUUGGGCUUUUCAGCACGUGAUGCUAUUCAUCUUCAUAGUCCAUGAUUUGUUUUUUUUUUGCACAGGUCGCAUUUCAAGGUAUUUCAUCCUCAAUAUUCACACACAUAUACAUUUCAUCCUUGUAUAGUUGCAUAUAUAUUUUUAGAUUUUUUAAACCAAAAAGUUUGAAUUUUGAAAUUUUCAAAAAAAUUGGGCUCCAUGGUGGCCGGUCACGGAAACGCCCCACUCCACUAGGCCUUGUUUCCAAGCAUUGAAAGGUUGUUUUUACUCACUUUUGUUACUUGCUACUUUACUAUUUGUAUUACAAAACCUUAUUGCUAUCAUCCAUAAUGCGCAUCUAUCAUCAUCUCUUCCCCGAACUAGUGCACCUAUACAACUGACAACUUUAUUGGAUGUGUUGGGGACAUAAGAGAUCGCUUGUAUUUGAUUGGAAGGUUGUUUGAGACCACCUUCAUCCUACACCUCCCGCGGAUUGAUAAAAUCUUACGUCAUCACUUCAGAAAAAUUUGAUGUUGGCGUCUAAAACACUACGCUUUAGGGCCCAACAAAAUAUACAAGAAUAAAGUUGUAUAGUAGACAUCAAGCCGCGGACGAAGAGGGAGACGGUAGUGGCAGGUGACUAGAGGCCAACAGUAACCACGGUGUGGAUGAGGACGGAGGCGAAUCCUGUUGCAGGGCUGAUCAUGACGAGCAAGAUUCGUCUGUCGAGCACGAGAUAUGGCCAUGAAUGCCAGCCAAAAAGAACAUGGGGCGUUCACGCCAACGAUCGAGGAUCUGAAUUGAUCCUCCAUGGACGCUAUGUGCUCUCCAUCUCAAAGGUGGCGGUGCCCGGUGAGGUGGUCAGCGGCGCCAAAAAGUAGACAUAAGGGUUGGGGCAGAAGGUGGGAUUUGGGCUCCUGCUGCAGUGAGGGUGAUAGAGGGUUGGAAAGGGACGCUCAUGUCAAGCCUUGUGUUUGGACUUUAGACCUAUAAAUUUGAUUAAAGUAUGAACGCAUUAGACCCUAUAUAGAUGAAAAGAUGGAAAAGGACGCUCCUGCUGCAGUCACUGGUGGAAAAAGGGCCUUUGGUCGCGGUUCGCAACUGCCAUUAGUCGCGGUUGCGCAACCGCGACCGAACGGGCGCGACUAAAGGCCCCCCCCCUUUAGUCGCGGUUGCUUAAGAACCGCGACUAAAGGCCCGUCCACGUGGGCGCCAGGUGGCCGUCGGGGCGGAGGACCUUUAGUCGCGGUUCUUCUGGCCAACCGCGACUAAAGGCCGCCGCAGGUUUAGGGUUUUAGCCCCCCCCCUUAAACAUGUUUUCUGUUUAAUUUGUAUUGUUUUAUUUCUUUUGUGCUUUAUUUUAAUUUUGAAGGAGUUUCAUAUAUUCUACGGUACUACAUACAUGCAUAUGAAUGUACAAUUUCAAAUAAAUUUGAAAUUAGAACCAAAAAGAAUUCAAGAGGAAUAUACAAUAUAUAUUCAAUAUCAUCGGAUGACCAUAUACAAUUUUGAACAAGUUUCCAUACAUGAUUUAAUGCAUAUAAAGUUCUACGUCCUCGUAAUAAUGUUCUCCUUUAGGAUGGAGGACUUCCCUGCUGAACCAUCCAGCUAGUUCCUCUUGAAGUGGUCGGAAGCGAGCUUCUGGACUAAGCAUCCACCGGAGGUUAUUCCUCUGAGCAUUGGUAUCACUCGGAACCCGCUCAGAGGUGUAUCUCCGGAUCAUCUCACAGACAUAGUAUCCACAUAGAUUGGUCUCCGGUGGCUGAAUAUCCCCAGCAUUCUUAGCCUUUGACCUUUUGAAUUCUAGCUCUUUUUUGAAUUCACCGACCUUUGUAUCUACGAACCGUCUCCAAACCCUACGAGGCAAAGAAAAUUAAAUGAACAAGAGAGUUAUUAGUUACUUGAUAUUAGGAAAUGAACGAAAUAGGCCGAUCGAUAUAGAGCGCAAAUGAAUGAAAAUAAUUACUUCUGCAGCAUUCUUCUCAUGCCGCCCCAAAGCUUUGGAUCCAUAUUCACAGAGUCGUGGACGAGACAUUCUGAGGUGUUAACUUUAAUUACUAGCAGAAUCCAGUGGAACCUGCGGACACGAUACAUGCAUAGUACGUCAUGCAUAACUCAUCGAUUAGCCGGCCACAUACCAUGCAUGGAGUAAACAAAAGAGAAUGUGCUCAAGACAGAAACACUCACUCAAAAUGGUAAGGAAAUAGAAUAUCACUUUUGAGUUCCUGCUUUGUAAGAAACUGCCACAGGUCUGCCUCCACGUCGGCGGGGUAACGCUCCAACACAUGUCCAUUAACGAUGUGUGGGUCAAUGAACCCAACAUCAUGGAUGUUCCUUACUCUGCAUUCCUUAAUCUUCAUUCUGCAUGUAUAAUAGCGGACACAACAAUAUAGUUAGGACAUAUAUAUAGUGCAGGCAAUAUGAACGAGAUGGGGUAGAAAUUAAUAAAUCACUUACAGAACGUAGCAACUGAUGAUAGAUUUAUCGAGCUCGCGCAGAUUGAAAAGCUGGAACAAUUCACUCAGUUCAAUUUGUACAUAAUAAUGUUUGAAGUGAUGCUCAUGUCUAACUUCCGCAUAAAUAUAUUCUUUGGCGUUUUUAUUUUUUAUGUAACCCUUGUACCAUUUCAGCAGACCUUUCAUUUGUGGAGGUAGAUCCUUUUCCUGCGCAGGCUCGACGAGAGGCCCAUUCUUGACAUAUGUAAUUACUACCUCCUUCACUGGCGCCUCAUCAAGGCCUAACAGUUCACGAAGAGUAAUACCUAAGUUGGCCGCUUGUUCUCUGGCACUCGUUACAGUCAAUCCCUGUGCUGCCGCAGCUUGUAUGAUCUCGGGGGCAUCCGGACAGAAGGCUUCCACUAUAAGCGGGGCAAUCGAUUGUUUACUUUGUUCCCCGAGCUGGGCAACUUGUUUCCCGCUUUUUUUACUUUCGGCCUUCUCCCGCUCUUUGUUCUCCUUGAACAUGAGUGCCUGCCUGCGAAGUUCACGUGCAUAGUCAUUAGGCAGAUUCUUCGCGGCUUGGGACGGUGUGCUCAAAAAUGACUUAGCCCACUUCUUUUGCUCAUCAGAAAAUACUGGCUUGGGCUCGGGCUCUGUUUUCUUCUUGCAGUCCACCUUCCAUUUCUCCAAAUCAGCAGCCGCGGCCGCGUCGACUUCCUCGGCACUAUGUUCCCAAGACCUUGUGGGGAGAGGCUUCAGUGAUGGCUCCGGUACCUUUGUGGUCUUAGGUACAUAAGGGUCCGGGUUAAUAAUCCAGCACUGCUUCUGCUUCUUUGCCGGAGGUGGAUUGGGGGGCGGCGUCUGAUCACCCGCCGGACGAGGACUGGGGGGCGGCGGCUGAUCACCCGCCGGACGUUGUGGACUGGGGGGCGGCGUCAGCUGACGUGACGGAGGUGUAGGUGAACCGCCACCACCACCACCACCACCACCACCGCCACCGCCACCACCACCACCGUAGGGGGGUGGACUUGUUGUCCUUGGCGCCUCGCCUGGAAACUUGGUAAACUUCUUUUGCCAUAGAAUGAAAUGGCGCUUGACAUCUCCAAGUCUUUUCUCCCCUUCAGGUGUAGCAAUGUCAAUCUCCAGGUCCUCAAACCCUUGGACUAUGUCCUCCACCGUGACACGAGCAUAGCCAUCUUGAAUGGGGUUGUUGUGGUGGAGUGCUCCAGGUAAACAUGGUAAAGCACUGCCGAUGGCUACCUUCAUGGACAUGUUCCCGAUAGGAUAAUACAGAUGACAUUCUUUCAUCUCCUUUAUAUCGUCCACGGGGUAGCGAGGAGGCUCCGGUGCAGUAAUUUCGACCACCAGAGGCUCCGGUGCAGUAAUUUCGACCACCAGAGGCUUCGGUGCAGUAAUUUCGAUCGUCGGUGCAUCUGCACCAGCCGGUGGGGCCUCCGUGGAAGCCACGCUGCUUCUCCGCUGCUGGCUUCCGAGAUCCGCUGGAUGAUCUUCAUGCUGCACCCGAGCUGCAUCUCUUUCGGCUACUAGUACACUCAUGGUUUUCUUCAUCACAUCCAUUUCCGAUGCCAACCGCGCCACAACAUCUGCUUCCCGAUCCAUCUUUCUCUUACGGCUUCUGUAACCGUACGGGUCAUCGUUCUGGGGGAACCCUAUUUUCCACGGAAUGUGCCCCAUGCCUCGUACACGUCCUCCGUGUUCAGGAUUCCCGAGGGCUUUUGUCAGCGCGUCGUUCUCUCUGUUGAACUUGAUCUUCCCCUGUUGAGCAUCCCUCAUUGCGUUAAUAAGGGCUUGGGUGGGUUUAAUUAAUUUGCCCCGGUAAACACACUCCCCUGUCUCCGGGUUCAGCGUUCCCCCAUACCCGUACCACCAGCUUUUGGCCCUUGGGUCCCAUCCCUCUGUACCUGGACGGAUUCCUCGCGCCCUCAGCUCGUUCUCCAUCUUCUCCAACCUAGGCACCCAAAUGCGAUACCCUCCUGGCCCCAUAACAUGAUUGUACUCCUUCUUAGCCGCAUUUUCCUUAUUUUUUUCGAUAUUUGAAUGAACUGCUCCGAUUUCUUUUGCUUCACAAAUUCUGGCCAAUCAUGUUUCAGUUUCUCAUAUUGUCCUUUGAAAUCCGGAGUCUUGUUCUGCUUGACAAAGUCAUGGGCUAGAUUUUGCUUGAAUUUCCGGAAUGCGUCGGCCAUCUUAUGAAGAGCGAACUGUUUGACUAGCCUCCUCCUCUCCUUGUUUUCCUCAAUCUUGUUACCCUCCUCAUCGAAUUUGUUGUAUUCCGGAGGUAGAACGAAAUGUUCCAUAAGCUUCUUGAAGCAAUCUUUUUUUGUUCUCUUAUCGACAAAAGUGAAACCAUCAAUUCGUGCCUUCUUUGGCUCAUUCCACUCCUGGACGGUGAUCGAGACGUUGUCUCUAACAAUGGCUCCGCAUUGGCUGACAAACUUGGUGGCGUUCAAAAAAGAUGACCUUCUCUUCUUUGGUCAGAGCGUAGCUGGCACGACCUUGAAACCAUUCCGGAUGCCGGUCAUCAGGGUCUUUCAAACGUUGCUGGUCCUGCCGUGCUUCCUUUGUAUCAUUUGUCUUCCCAUACACGCCCAAGAAGCUUAGGAGGUUCACGCAAAUAUUCUUCGUAACGUGCAUCACGUCGAUUGCAGAGCGGACAUCUAGGACUUUCCAAUAUUCUAGCUCCCAGAAUAUAGAUUUCUUCUUCCACAUGGCUGCGUGCCCGUCAGCUCCCUUCGGAACUGAUUGUCCGCCAGGACCCUUUCCAAAGAUGACUUUCAAAUCCUUGACCAUAUCAAAUACCUCAGCACCAGUGCGUUCCGCAGGCUUCGGCCGGUGAUCUGCCUUGCCGUUGUAAUGCUUGCCUUUCUUUCUUACUGGAUGAAUUUUCGGAAGAAAUCGACGAUGCCCAAGGUACACGUUCUUCUUACAAUUUGGCAAAUGUACACUUUCAGUCUCAUGUAAGCAGUGCGUGCAUGCAUUGUAUCCCUUAUUUGACAGUCCCGAAAGGUUACUAAGAGCAGGCCAAUCGUUGAUGGUUACGAAAAGCAACGCUUGUAGGUCAAAUUCCUCUUGUUUGUGCUCAUCCCACACACGGACACCACCCCACAGCUGUAAAAGUUCAUCAACUAAUGGCCUUAGGUACACAUCGAUGUCGUUGCCGGGUUGCUUCGGACCUUGGAUGAGCACUGGCAUCAUAAUGAACUUCCGCUUCAUGCACAACCAAGGAGGAAGGUUGUAGAUGCAUAGAGUCACGGGCCAGGUGCUAUGGCUGGAGCUCUGCUCGCCAAAAGGAUUCAUGCCAUCCAUACUUAGAGCAAAUCUUAUGUUCCUUGCGUCAGCUGCAAAAUCUUUGAACCAUCUGUCGAUCUUUCUCCAUUGCGUUCCAUCUGCGGUGUGUCUCAACUCCCCGUCCGACUUACGGUCCUCUUUGUGCCAUCGCAACAACUUGGCAUGCUCUUUGUUCCUGAACAGACGUUUCAACCGUGGUAUCAUAGGAGCAUACCACAUCACCUUGGCGGGAACCCUCUUCCUGGGUUUCUGGCCCUCAACAUCGUCACCAGGGUCAUCGCCUCUGAUCUUAUAACGCAAUGCAGUGCAUACCGGGCAUUCAUUCAAAUUCUCGUAUUCACCGCGGUAGAGGAUGCAGUCGUUGAUGCAUGCAUGUAUCUUCAGAACCUCUAAACCUAGAGGGCAGACAACCUUCUUUGCUUCGUACGUACUGGCGGGCAACUCGUUAUCCUUUGGAAACAUAUUCUUCAACAUUUUCAGCAAGUUUUCAAAUGCCGAGUCAGCUACACCUGCCUCUGCCUUCCAUUUCAGCAAAUCCAGUGUGCAGCCCAGCUUUUUCAGACCAUCAUCGCAUCCGGGGUACAGCGCCUUUCUGUGAUCCUCUAACAUGCGAUCCAAAUUCUCCCUCUCCUUUUCAGUUUUGCAACGUCUCCGUGCAUUAGCAAUGGUCCGACCAAGAUCAUCAACGGGAUCAUCACGUGCCUCUUCUUCACCUUCCCCUUCACCUUCAGCAUCCUCCAUGAAAGUAUCACCGAAAUGAGCAAGAUAGCUUUCAUCGAUGAAAUCAUCCCCUUCUUCAUCUUCUUCCAUUAUAACCCCUCUUUCUCCAUGCUUGGUCCAACAAUUAUAGCUUGGCAUGAAACCGUGCCGAAGCAGAUGCAUGUGAACAUCUCUUGAGGAAGAGUAACCUUUCUGAUUCUUACAGAUAACACAUGGACAGAUAACAAAAACCCCCUGCUUGUUCGCAUUAGCCACUACGAGGAAAUCUUUCAAACCCGUAGUGAACUCGCCGGAGAGUCGGUUACCGUACAUCCAUUGCCGAUUCAUCUGCAUUAUUAUAAUAUAAAAUAUAUAAUUAACCAUCAUGCAUUUGUUAAACUAACUAGCUACAAACAAUAUAAAUUAAACAAUGAACUGCACACAUGCAUAUUUUAUCAAUGACACAUCAAAGGUUCAUCAAGUUGCUAACCGCGAUCGAGGAGUGUGGCUCCAACACUUCAUGUCAUGUUUGUUUCAUACUCUUGGGGCAUUUCAUCAAACACCUUAUGUGCAUAAGAGGAACCAAAAGCAAACCUAGCUACACCCACUUGUGAAGAGAAUGGCUCCAAAUGGCUAAGUGUUGGCUGCUGGAUGGGUAUAUAUAGGGGAGGGGCUUUAGUUGCGGUUGGCCUGGCAAACCGUGACUAAAGGUGCCCGAAGGCCUUUAGUCGCGGUUGUCCUGGCCAACCGCGACUAAAGACCCUCACGUGCGCCAGCUAGCCACCGAGCGCCCUGGGCCCAGGCCUUUGGUCGCGGUUCACCUCCAGAACCGCGACUAAAGGUCCUAUUAGUCGCGGUUCCUACAGCUUCGCGACUUAUGGGGCUGGACGGAAGCCUGUUUUUCCACCAGUGAGUGACCUAACUUUGAUCUAGCAAUUAUAUCAUUGAAAGCUUCUUUCACACAUGAAUUUAACGAUGUGUUUUGUGUAAGUUGCAUGUCAUAUAUUGUAAGCUGCAGUGCGUCUGCCGGAUUAUCCCGUGCAUCUUCGUCUCAUCUCUCUCGUGAAAACUGCGAUGCAUGAUGUAGUAUGACAGCGUACGUACACCGAUGUUGUUUUGGGAAAAUGGGUGAUGCAAAGGGGACUGAGACCGAGCUCAACCCAGCCUUUUGACCGCUCUCUGCUCUUGACCUGUGGAUAAAACGCAGCAGCUACUACGAAUAUACCACCCUAGACGUGGUGCGCUCACCAAUCUUUUUGGGAACUUGGAAUGCCAAGGGGAGUGAGACCGAACUCAUCAAUCUUGCAUCUAAUUUAGAGAUGACGGAAAAAAAUGUCUAUAAUGAUUCAUCUCUUAAUCUUAUCUUUAAUAACUAGCUAUUCCUAAAAACGUGUUGAGAUAUAUUAUGGUCAAAUCUUUUUUUAUAAGUUUUUUUUCCUUCAUCUCAUCAUUUAUCUUACGUUACACUUUUAAAAUAGCAUCAUUAUAUAUGCCCUUACUUGCAUGCAUGGAUUAGCCUCACCCAGCCUCAAGCUGAUCACCAUCAAGCGUGAGUGCUCUCUCUCCCUCGCAGCUGCUCCCAGCAUGGUAAAACUAGCGUUGCAGCUGGGUAGCACUAGCACAGUGUUGUGUCACGUACAGUCUUAUUAUGAAAACGGCAACUGCGACGCGUUUCACCGGGUCACUCGGGCCUACUCCACCGUACGACCCUAAAUUUAUAUCCAGUUUAUCCGGAUUUUGUCCAUAUGAAAUAGAAAUAGGGAAAACAAACGUUGGACAGAGGUCGGAUAAAUUCACUCCACCUAACGCUGUUUACCUCAUUUUCACCCUAUUUCACCGGUCCGUUCCCGUCAUUUCUUCAAACACGUACCAGGCAUAGCAAACUCACUGCCGUAGCCGCUCCUGCUCAUGCACGUCCUCGCUCCCGCCGCGACCGCAUGUCCGCCGUCGCUCCCGACGUGUCGUCGUGCUUGUGCCCUCGCUCCCGCCGCGCCCGCCUCGUCCGCCCAAGCUCGCCGCCGCCCGCGCGGCCGCGCCUUCUCGCCGCACGCGUCUUCCGCAGCCGUCCGGCGACCCACCACCGGCCCUGUGUCCGACUCNNNNNNNNNNNNNNNNNNNNNNNNNNNNNNNNNNNNNNNNNNNNNNNNNNNNNNNNNNNNNNNNNNNNNNNNNNNNNNNNNNNNNNNNNNNNNNNNNNNNNNNNNNNNNNNNNNNNNNNNNNNNNNNNNNNNNNNNNNNNNNNNNNNNNNNNNNNNNNNNNNNNNNNNNNNNNNNNNNNNNNNNNNNNNNNNNNNNNNNNNNNNNNNNNNNNNNNNNNNNNNNNNNNNNNNNNNNNNNNNNNNNNNNNNNNNNNNNNNNNNNNNNNNNNNNNNNNNNNNNNNNNNNNNNNNNNNNNNNNNNNNNNNNNNNNNNNNNNNNNNNNNNNNNNNNNNNNNNNNNNNNNNNNNNNNNNNNNNNNNNNNNNNNNNNNNNNNNNNNNNNNNNNNNNNNNNNNNNNNNNNNNNNNNNNNNNNNNNNNNNNNNNNNNNNNNNNNNNNNNNNNNNNNNNNNNNNNNNNNNNNNNNNNNNNNNNNNNNNNNNNNNNNNNNNNNNNNNNNNNNNCCCGUGCGCACGCCACUGCCUCACCGUCUCGCGCGCUGCCGCGCCCGUCGUCCCGCACACUCGCCGCCGCCGUGCCUUCCCGCGCGCACGUCGUCGCCGUCCCGUGCACACGCCGCUGCCGUCCCGCGCGCAGGGAGUGGUUGUGGGUGCGCGUGGUGGGCCAGGUACAGAAAAAGAGAGUGUGACAAGUGGGGUCGACGGCGGACACAGACGGACGACGAGGACGCGAAGACGUCCGCUUUCCGUCCGCUUUGGCCCCAAACCGAGAGCAACUUUGGUCUGAAAAUGGGGCAAAAGCGGAUAUAGAACGGACAAAACGUCCAUAUGCUCUCAUGCAUUGGGUCGUUCGGUUUGUUCGUUUUAUCUCAAACGAAUACAAACGAACAAUUUGGAAUAGAAAUGGGUCACGCGGUGGAGUUGGCCACACUACUGCAUUGGAUGAGCAGAGCAGAGAUCCCGUGCAUGCAUGAUCAGUAUUUUUUGUAUGCUGUGGCACGGCAGCUCCCUCUCUCCCUCUCACACACGUCGACAUGACUACCCGGCCAGAGGAGGGACGAUGAAAGGAGCACUGUAUAGUACUACUCGCAGUGCCAUAGUACUACAGCCUGUGAAGCAUGCAUGCAUCGGAAUUCUCACACGGUCCAGCCUUUUGACCACUCUUCAAACGCCUCCCUCGCCGGUCUCUGUCGUCUUCUCCCUCUCGCACAGCCAUCAUGGCCGCCGGGGCACAACCAGCACUGCAUCUAUAUAAGGGCAUCUUCAGCCGUUUGUCUCUCAGGGAGCAUUUAAAAGCCCCGUCUGAAAUGAGCCAGCGUAAAAAAUGGCCCUGGGACCGAGUCGGUCCCCAGCCGUCGGCUCCUAGGGCCGUCCCCAGACGCGUAUUUAAGAAAAAAAGACCAUUCGGCGAAGUUAUGAUAAAAACUAGUUAAAUUUCGGCCAAACAUGGCAAAUUUCGGUGAAAUUCGCGCAUUUUUAUUACAUUAACCUAAUCUAAAAAAGAAAAGGGCUGAAGUCGUCGCCGCCAUCAUCGUCAUCGGCCUUCUCCUCCUUGACGCGGGCCCCUGCUGGACCCCUGCCCGGCGCCACCAUGGCGGACUGGCGACGGCGCAUCGUCGUCGUCGUCGCUGUCGCAUAAGACAACGACCCCGUCUUCGACGCGGCCGCGUCGGCGCUCCUCGAAGCGGCGCAGGGCGGCGCGCUGGCGUUCCUUCUCCUUCUCCCGGCACGCCUUUUCCAUCGCAAUGAAGUCCUGGCUCGCCCAUUCUAGGGCCACGUCGUCGUCGUCGAACUCCGCCUCCACCGGCGCCAGCCCCGGCUCCAUCUUCGGCUUGACGAAGCGCGGAGGAGCCGACGAGGAGGGGCCGCGCCGGCCGCCCUCCUUGAUGACGAUGCCGACGCUGCGAGUGCGUCGACCGAUUGGCGUCUCCGCCGCGGGCUCGGCCUUGACGCCGAGAAGCGCCGGAGAACCGGAGGAGUGGGAAGAUGAGCGAGAGGAGGAAGACGAGGAGGAGGCAAACCUCCUUGGCGCCCAUGCGCGUCGGUGUUGCGACGGGGCGGCCCCCGUCGCAGGAUAGGUCAACGGCGGGUUGUUGCCGCCGUCGAGGUGCGUCAGCACGCCCUCCAGCGUGCGGCCCGGGACGCCCCACCACAGGUGGCGCCCCAUGCUGUUCUUCACGCCGCCGACCACCGAUGCGUCGUUGGUGGAGGCCAGGCGCUGCUGCUGGCGGCGCUGGAAGUACGCCGCCCAAGCCGCAUGAUUGUCGGCGGCGUACUGGGGAGGGAGCGCUCGUCGUCGGUCAGGGAGGCGCGCGCGACCUCGACCUCCUCGGCGAAGUACGUGGGCUUCGCCACGGCGUCGGGUAACGGGGGAACGGGCACUUCCCCGUCGCUGAGCCGUCACCCCGUCGGCCCGGCGCGCAUGUCCGGCGGCGCCGGGAUGUUCGCCUGGAACAGGAGCCAGGACUCCUGUUCGCGGAGCGAACGGCGGCCGAAGCCGUUCGCCGCCGCCUCGUCUCCGGGAAAGCGCUCUGCCAUGGCGACGGGCUCGGCGGUGGUAGAGAGGGAGAGAGGGGCUGUCGGCGGCGCUUGGGAGAGGAAGACGGAGACGAAGAGAGGGGCUGGGCGGCGGCGAGGGGCGAGUCUGGUGUGGACACCGGCGAGAACCACCGGCUUUUAUAGCCGCUCCGCGCCCGUGUGUACACGUGCGAGGGAGGAGAGGCGUCGGCGCGCCGUACCGAGACGCGCCGCCCGUGAGGAACCAAUGGCAAGGCUGACCGGCGGCAGCCUUUCCAUUGAUUCCCCGCGGGAACCGAGGCAGUUGGGGGGAAGACGAGCCGCCGUGUCCCUGACGCGGCUGACCCACGGCUUUUUCGCGCCAAAACAGUUCGCCCCGGCACCCCGGGCGCCCCUAGCGCGCCGGGUUCGGCCUGGGUCCGUCGGCGCUGUUUUCGGCCCAGGCCGGCGAAAAUCGGGCUCCUGGAAACACGACUGGACCGUUUUUUCAGCAUCGGCGUAAAAAAAGGCUGGAGAUGCCUUCCUGGAGGCGCGGCUGGAGAUGCCCUAAACAGCCGUCCCCGCUUGCAGCCCAGCUCCACCAGCCACCCAACCAUCAGCUCAUCAGUCCUACUCCCCGCUCCCCACCCUUCGUUGCAGCAGCAGCAGCAGCUCCACCUCCACCCAUGGCGAUGUUCAAGAAGGUGGCCAAGCACCAGCUGCAGCUGCUCUUCAUCGUGUUCAUCCUCGGCAGCUCCGAGCGCGUGCGCCGCGCCGACGAUGCCAACCCCUGCGGGAGGGACGUCCACGCGCGCGCCGUCCUCGCGCACCGCCUCCUCGCCCUCGCCGCACUCCCCGCCGCCGCGCUGCUCCUCUCGGUGAGGAUGGCGGUCGGCCGCGCCGAGGCCGCCGCGCUCGCCGCGGGCGCCAAGGCCGAGGGCCUCGCGUCCGUCCGGGGCCUGUGGCGCAGGGCGGCGCUGCGCGCGCAGCUCCUCCUCGCCGUCGCCCUCUGCGCCGCCUCCUCCCUCUUCGCCGGCGCCGCCUUCCACUACGGCCUCCGGUACAAGUCUGGCUGCGCCGCGGACCUGGCGCUGUGGAUCCUCGCCCCCCUGAAGGCGCUGGUCAUGGUGGGCAUGGUUUCUCUGCACUGCAAGUACGCGCGGGCGGCCGUGUCCAGCAACUAGACGAUCCAUCAGCCAGCCAGCCGGCGUAGCUAUCGUCGUCGUCGUCGUCGAUCGUGUUCGUGUCAGGGUGAAGUGGGUGUGUGUGUGCGUUGUAUCUUGUACCCGAACUGGCGUGUCCGCAAGUCUGAAGGUCCAUGAUGUAACUUAGGGAGUGCGUGCCACGGCUGUUUGGAUUCGGGAUCUCGAUGAUCUAUUCCAUGGUGUUCUCUGCUCGUUUCGCAAUUGCUGUAUUCUCGAUCUUGCUGUAUUUACAUAGUACGUGCUCGUCUUGUGUGGAAGUUUUACCGGUGGGGAUGGAUGUGGACGUUCAAUUCAAACUAUGGUGCACUCCAAGCCAACCAAAUCAAAUCAUGUUUUCUUCUUACUGAUUUUCACAGUUUGGGGCGGAUUUUGGGUCCGCAUGCAUCAUGCAGCUUCACUCUUGGUUUUCUCUUGUGACGUACAAACGUGUUCCUUGAGGUUCAGGGCAGGGCAGUACGCGAUACCAAGUGUUGGACCCCUUGAUCGUAGGGACGACGCUCCUCUGCCGUGCGCUACGUGCCGUUGGGCCACUGACAUGUGGGCCAGGUUUCCAAAAGGCCCACAUGUCAGUGACAGAACGGCAGGCUGCCGUACGUCAGAGGAUCCUCAUCCUGAUCGUAGGGAUGGAGAAAGCGAGGGCUGAUAUCUCAUUGGCACAUUGUGUACAUUAAUCUGGGCUGUCCAUCCUUGGUGGCUUGGUGCAACGGGCAUGUUACAACGUGACACGUCACUGGAUCCCUGUCCUUCGCCUCGUAAUGGUCGUGUGGGUCCAACCAAUCCCAAUGGAAGCUACAGGGAAGGAAGUAAAAAGAUGGUUUGGAGGAACGGGCAGAGAAUGAAGAGCAGGUCGGCCCAAGCUUUGCUACAUCUACCUACGAGGUGAUCUGUCGUGAUUUGGUUGGAAGAAACAAAAAAACGCCCACCUCGAGGAAAAAAACCCAGCGAUGCUACAUCUACGUAGAGGGUGUUUAUUUUCAGAGACUUAUUAGUUUAGGGACUUAAUAAAGUUCCUAUAAGGAUAUGUCGACGCAUCCAUGGAUUCCAUUUUCUCAUUUUGUGCUAAAGAACACACGGCUAUGGCCGAGAUACGAGGCAACAUCAAUUUUCAUAGAAAUAAUAGAAAGUUCGUAGGAAGGUUGUUAAUUUUACUAGAUGACCCCUCCAGAAACUUAAUUUGUCCAAUAAUCUUUAAAACCUUAUUUCGGCAUGUGACCCCAAAUUUACACCGAACUGUAAGACGCAAAGAAUCCGUACAAGCGAUGUACCCCAAGGAGUGUUUGACGGGCCGCGCCACCCAGCGUGCUCCUCCCUAUCGCGCCUCACAAGUCACAAUAAGGCGUGUUACUAGUAUACCAUGUAGUGACCCAUCGGGCGUGUUUAUCCUAUUGGCACGCCUCCUUAUUAGAUGUCUUUUUUUCUUUUUUGCGAAAACUCCUUAUAAGGGGUCUUCCCUAGCCAGUAACGCCUUUAUAUUACACGGCAUUCUCUUAUAACUAGAUGAUAUCUCGCGCGUUGCUGUGAGAACCUUGUUAAAAAUGUAUAGUUAGGUGCUACACAAUCAACUAAAACUAAUGCAAAACAAAUGUAGAAUUAUCCUUGAUUUGUUUAUUUUCAAAAUUAAGCAUAAAGCAUGUAACAGUAUGAUGUAGUGCAAAUCUUAAAAUUAUAGUACAAAAUGUUAUUUUCUUGCAAAAAGUAAUACUUAACUACUUAGGUAUUCUCCAAGCAUUCAACACAGGCCGUCCAUGACAAUACAAAAUAUUGACACAUUUGACCAAAUCCGGAGCCAAUAAAGCAACACUGGAAAUACAAAAAGAAAAUCAAUACAUAUACUGUUUGUACUUGAGUUGAUAACUUAAACCUGUUCACCUGUUCACCUGUUCUGCACUCUUAUCAAUCUUGCCAACCAUCCCCCUCUUUUUCUACAAAUGAAUAGAUAGUCAUAAGUAUCAUUAUGAGUGGGAACAAAUAUUUUUACAUGCAUUUGCGCAUGUAAGCAUAAAAUGAAACAACCAUUUUGUCUUGCAGAUAUUGGCUCAAAUCUGGAUCCAUUCUCCAUAUACCCAGCGUAAGCUAGUGUAACAGUACUUGAAAGAUGUGAAAUAUGUAUCUUAUGAUUAGAGUAUCGAUUGCACUUUCUUCACACAUAAAAUUAAACUGCAAAUUGUUAAUUUCCAGAAAAUGGUGAGUGUCAAGUCAAUAAAUAGAACAUGAGUUGAGGAGUGGCGGUUGAUUGUUCAUAUGGCAGCACGGAUAUUUCUUUUCUUGUUUUACAACACCGUGGGUAAAGGUGAAAUAUGGUGGUCAUCAGCAUAUAUUGGGUAUGUCGUUGACUCAUGGAUAUGAAGAAAAGAGUAGGUGGAUGGCAUUAGUGACAAAGAUAUCAGUGGAAUCAAGGAUUUAAGUCAGUACGUUUGCACAUGUACUCAAAAGCAACGCAAUUGUCUUCAAUGGCGAGAGUAAUAAGUUGUUAGUUGUUACUAAGGACAUACAAAUUUUCAGAUUUUGGGUAUCAACAGGGACUGUACAUAUUCUUACAGGAUAGCUGUAGAGACCACAAUUCAAGUCGAAGGAAUCAUAUACAACAAUGAAGUACUCCCUCCGGUCCUUUUUAGUCUGCAUAUAAGUUUUGUCUGAAGUCAAAGCAUCUCUACUUUGACCGAAUUUAUAGAAAAAAGUAUUGACAUUUACGAUGCCAAAUCAAUUUUGUUAGAUUCAUUACGAAAUGUAGUUUCAUGGGAUAUAUAUUUGGUAUGGUAAAUAUUGAUAUUUUUUAAUAUAUAUUUGGUCAAACUUUGCAAAGUUUGACUUGACCCAAAUCUAAUAUGCAUAGUAAAACGGACCGGAGGGAGUACUAAACUGUAGUCAAGACAUGACUUGUCUUGUACAAAUAAUAUUGUUCAUAUAUAGUUCUCACCUAAAACUUUGAGGCAACUCACAUGAAAAUAUUUUGCCCUGCCAAAACUCUGACGUGUUGCUGCAUGAAAUGAUCAGAGACUAAGAAUUAGUUAGUAGAAACCCACAAAUAAGUUAGUUAGGAACCCAAAUAGCAUACCAGAACGGAUUCUGGCAAUCUGAACUUUCCCAUAUUCCUGAAAAUUGGUUCUUCUGUUGCGGGGACCUGAAAAUUGCCUCCACUGAAAGAUUCCAAGUUGUAUGAUGCAUGUGAAUGACAAACUUGCAUAAAAGGAAAAUCGUGAUGUUCCUGAUUAAUUACGUGCCAAAACAUGAAGAAAUCAUAUUGCGGAAGUAAUCUGCAUAAAUCAUAUCAUAUAUAAAUUGAUUACUUUUUCUAAUGUCAAAUCAGAAAGAAAGUAAGUAAAUUAAUGUCCCAACCAGGAUGCAAUCUUGAUUUCCUAAUUUCAAAUCAAUCAUUUUGUAGGGGACUUCUGAUCGAUCUAGCUGCAACCGAACGAAGAUCCUUCGACGUCCAGACCUUGUCGCCUCCCGCUCUCGGUGUCUCUCUCUCGGACACGUCUGGUUACCAUUGGAGCACCAUUACGGAGGACCUCCCUAUGGUAUAUGGUCGCCACGAGCAGAAUAUGAGAAAAAAUGAAUGGAAAUUUAGUAGAUCUAACCCUCACAACAUGCUCCCUUCUUUCUCCCGUCAGACAGACACUCAGAGGCCACCGAACUCCGCCAUGCUCCCUUGAUCUCUCUCGUCUUUCCCACUCAGAUCCGUCUAGCCGCGGUAGGUGAAAGUAUCCAAGCAACAGAAGGCGGAAGGCGAGGGCGUUCGGACUAGAUCGUCUACAAUCGAGUGGGGAGGCUUGAAGAUAUCCGAGUGGAGAAAAGAUGAGACGUGCAGACGCAAGAGUGCGUCUCGGCUCUUAAAGAGUAGACUUAUCUCGUCGGUUUCAGAAGACAAAGAGGAACCUAUGUGUACUACAAUUAUUAAAUCACAGAAUUUGUUUAGUGGAUUUUUUGCUGAGGUGGCAGAUUUGCUGAGGUGGACCGAUGAUGACAUGGAUGCACGUGGUUGGAUGCUGAUGUGUCUAUGAUGCAUGUUUAGAUAAAUCAAGUGGUGGGGGUGAACUUCUUAAGUAUAUAGGAUUAGUGGAGCCUCAGACGCCAUCUUUUAUAUUCACUACAAGCCUUGAAGAUUUCAUGGUGGUACACAUUUUACAUUCAACUGUAUUUGUUUUAAGCUCGCUCAGAUUGUUAGCUAACACACNNNNNNNNNNNNNNNNNNNNNNNNNNNNNNNNNNNNNNNNNNNNNNNNNNNNNNNNNNNNNNNNNNNNNNNNNNNNNNNNNNNNNNNNNNNNNNNNNNNNNNNNNNNNNNNNNNNNNNNNNNNNNNNNNNNNNNNNNNNNNNNNNNNNNNNNNNNNNNNNNNNNNNNNNNNNNNNNNNNNNNNNNNNNNNNNNNNNNNNNNNNNNNNNNNNNNNNNNNNNNNNNNNNNNNNNNNNNNNNNNNNNNNNNNNNNNNNNNNNNNNNNNNNNNNNNNNNNNNNNNNNNNNNNNNNNNNNNNNNNNNNNNNNNNNNNNNNNNNNNNNNNNNNNNNNNNNNNNNNNNNNNNNNNNNNNNNNNNNNNNNNNNNNNNNNNNNNNNNNNNAGCAGAAGUUCUCUCCAACAGAAAACGGAAACGAAGUUGGUGCACUAAUUAUUACAAAGCCAAGUCCGAAGGAAAGGGAACGAAGAAGAAUUUUAUCCAUCAGCUCUUUUCAUGCUCCCCUCCCACACCUCACAUCCAGGCUAUCCGCAUCACCUCUCCACGUCGCUUGUCCAGCAGAAGGAUACACCUUUGCAGCAGGGUUGCUUGAGCAUUGUCGCAGAGAACUUUCCACUAGUGCAAAUAACAGCUUAGUCUUGCAAGAAUGCAGUUCACGUUUCUCCAUUUCUAGCCCUAAAAACAGAAAUUGUUUCUUAGUCUCCACAAACUCCACAAGGAGGCAGCAAUAACCAUGUUAAGCACAUGCUUUUUUUAUGAACUCGCCAGAAAGCAAAGAUAUCGUCAAAGUUAGCAAUUCUAUCCAUCUCAAAGAAGUCAGAUACAAAACCCCACACAUGUUGAGCAACUACACAGUCAAACAUCAAAUGUUGUACAGAUUCGAGCUCUGCACAAAAGAGACAGGAAGGAUCCUCAACCUCCCUCCUCUUUAACAGAUUAUCCCUAGUCAGAAGUUUAUUGUGAGCACACAACCAUAGGAAUACAUGUAUCUUCUGCGGGCACAUAAUCUUCCACAGAUCAUCUUUGAUAGCAGAGGCUAUCCCCCCAAAGUUGAUGCAUUUAUAGAAAGAUUUCACCGAGUAUAAUUCAUUAGAUUCCAAGGACCAAAUCUGUGUAUCAGGUUCAUUUGAUAAGAUACACUGUUGAACAAGUUUCAACAAAGAGUCCCAUCUGUUAAGCCCAUUUUGAUCUACACAUCUCCUAAAGGAUAACUUAAGUUCUUGCCUGUCCCAUACUUGAGCCACAAUGCAUUCCAUUUGAUUGCACAUGCAAUACAAGUCCCAAAAUUGAACCUUCAGGGAACAUUCCCCAACCCAGGUAUCAUGCCAAAAACUAAUCAACUCACCAUUACCCAGCUUCCAUCUAUAGAAAUUUUUAGCAGCUGCUAAUGCCCAAGUGAUGCUCUUCCAAAAGGUAGAGCCGCCAUCUCCUUUUGCCCAUAAUAGGUUAGGAGAGUUCACUCUAUACUUGUAACUAAUAAAAUUUUUUCUAGUCUGCAUCAGAUUCAUCAAAGAACCUUUUGCCCCAGGAAGCCAGCAAGGCCAUAUUAAAUUCCUUGAUGUUAGGAAUCCCCAAUCCUCCAUAUUCUUUUCUCCUAGUAAUAACCCCCCAAUUAGCUAGAUGAUAUUUGUGCUGGUCCCCAAUAUUCCCCCAAAAGAAGUGAGCCAUUUGGGAGUUAAUGGCAUUAAUAGCCCAUAUUGGAAACUUAAUGACAGACAUAAGGUAGGCAGGUAUGCUAAUCAAGCAUGCACAAAGCAAAAUAAUUUUGCCUCUAUAUGUGAGGUAUCUCCCAAGCCAUCCAGAAAUGCCCUUGAUAAUUCUAUCUAUAAUGGGCUGGAGAUCCUCCCUUUCAUGUCAUGGGGUUUCAGGUCUUUGGAGAAGAAAGUGAACUGAUGAACAUAGUGAUAUUUACAUGUACAUAUGAAGAGGAUAGCGGUGUAACGGCAGUUGUGCUGCGUUGCAAAGUAGGGGUGGUAGCGCCAGUGCUCUGCAUGAGAGAGCACGCGAGGCAAAAAUGCUAGACGCACGGACCCAUUACGGGCUGAUUACGGGCCUUCUCUUUAAUACUUUCCACCCCCCCCCCCCCCCUGAUUUCAGGUGGGUGGGGCCCGCGUAUCCCCCUUAAACCAAUAACCAUUUGCCAUGUCAGCACCAGCCCCGUAAUCAGCCCGUAAAACUCCGUGUGUGUAGCAUCUCUGCACGCGAGGUAAAGCUAGCGUUGCAGCUGGGUAGCAGAGUGCUGUGUCACGUACAUACAGGCGUAUCACGGAAACGGCAACUGCGAGAUGCAUUUGGCCGGCUCAGCCGUACGUACGGUACCCUGCAUGCAUGAAAGUCUCUCCAGACUUUUGACCACAAUUUCAAAAUUUCAAACGCCUCCCUCCCUCGCCCGUCUCUGCCAUCUUCUCCCUCUCGCACACCCAUCAUGACGACCCCAAACAGCCAGCCCGCAGCCUCGAACCUCUCUCAGUCAAGACCCAUGGCGAUCUUCAGGAAAGUGACCCAGCUCCAGCUGCAGCUGCUCUUCAUCGUGUUCCUCCUCGGCAGCUCCGUCCGCGUGCCCCCGCCCGACGACGCCAACCCCUGCGGGAGGGACGUCUACCAGCGCGCCGUCCUCGCCCACCGCCUCCUCGCCCUCGCCGCCCUCCCCGCCGCCGCGCUGCUCCUCUCGGUGUGGGUGGCGGUCGGCCGCGCCGAGGCCGCCGCGCUCGCCGCGGGCGCCAAGGUCGAGGGGCUGGCGUCCGUCGCGGGCCGGUGGCGCCGGGCGGCGCUCCUCCUCGCCGUCGCCCUCUGCGCCGCCUCCUGCCUCUUCGCCGGCGCCGCCUCCCACUACAGCCUCCGCUACACGUCCGGCUGCUCCGUGGACCUGGCGACGGGGAUCCUCGUCCCGGCCCAGGUGCUGGCGUUCGUGAGCAUGGGUACUCUGCACUGCAACUUUGCGUGGGCCGCCGUGUCCAGCAACUAGAUGGUCCAUCCGUCUAGCCAACCAGCCGGCGUGUGGCUAGUCGUCCGUCGUCGUCGUCGUCGAUCGUGUUCGUGUUAGGGUGAAGGUGUGUGUGUGUCAGUGUGUGCGUUGUAUCCGAACUGAAUUGGCGUGUCUGGACGUCUGAAGGUCCAUGUAACUUAGGGAGUGCGUGCGUGGGAAGAAGAAGCACUGUAUGUGCUGAUCGAUGGCUGGUUGGAUUCUCGAUCUCGAUGGUUUAGUCAUCAAGUUCUACCCGUUUCCCCAUUGCCGAUGAAUUUGCAUGCGUUCGUUCGCUUCUGUCGCUCGAUUCGAUUCCAGUUCACUCCGGCGACUCCGCUCGGGCUGCAUGCGUGCAUGCGUGCGUGCUUGCUGGCGCUGCUGAACCGUGCCGGCGUACGUACAGAGGGGCAUGCAUGCUCUGCUUUGCUAUGUUCAUUUGUUCAGAACACAUGGCGUCACUCUACGUAGCAGGGCACAUAUCAUCCAGCGUUUUUGAGAGAGAGAGAGAGAGAGAGAGAGAGAGAGAUGCCAACGCAUCCAUGGAUUCCAUUUUUCUCAUUUGGUGCAACACAACACCGGUACAGUUGCAUGAUGGCGUGGUCAUGACCCAUGGCAAGACAGAGAGAAUACUUGCUCCUGCGACUCGUCGCCCUCCUUUCCACGUGACGUGAGCGGUUCUUCGGCGGUCAAAAGCAGAGAGCCCGCUGCGCUCGGGGCCCAGGAUUUCCAUCCAAGGUGGCAUGCGUGGGGUGCAGUGCAUCCGGGGAAAAUACCCCAUGCACAGGAGCUUGUGGUGCUACCGAUGCACCGAAGUCAUAUUGUGCUUCUAAAAUGUUUAAAAAAUUCUGACAAAAAUUUAGCACACUAACAUAACAUCAAUGUAAGUUGUCACAAAAUUUCAAGUCAAAAUUUAAAACAUAACUCGGAAAACAAAAAUAACAAAUUCAACACUGAAUAGUACAUAAUAUAGCUUGGGCUUUAGAUUGGGCCCAUUAUCACACUGAUGUCAAAUUUAUAAUUUUUAUCUCAAAAAUAAUUCAAAUUUUAUAAAAAAAUUGUGACAUUAUACGUUGAUGUUGCAUUUACGUGCUGGAAUUUUUUCAGAUUUUUAAAAACAUUUUAUGGCAUCUGAUGCACCGGUAGCACCACAAGUGCGGAUGCACCAGAUACAUUCUCAGUGUAUCUGUUGUACCAGGUAUGAUGCAUACACCGGUGAGUAAGAACUGGCACUUUACCAUGUGAGAUGGGUUACAGGGGUGGGUUUUCUUAGGGUGGCGAUUAUAACAACCAUGAGACAUCACAAGAACAUAAUCAAGGUGUAUGGGUGAUAUAAUCGAGGUCUAUUAGUAAUGGAUAUUGCCGUAUUGGAGGUUUUAUUCUUGUUGUUUGAUACUUUCUUCAUCCGAAAAAACUUGUCUUAAAUUUAUUCUUUAAAUGAAUGUAUUUAGCACUAACUUGAUACUACAUAUAUUCAUUUAAGAGAUAAACUUUUUCGAACGAAGGAAGUACUUACUACACCUUCUUAUUGGCUCCAUGGGUUGGUACUACUGUUCUGUAAAAACAACAUCGAAUUCGUUCCCUAGUACGCCCAUGCACGAUGGACGGAUGAUCAUGUAGUUGUCAUGAAUAAAUUACCACCUUCCUUGUCUCUCCACUCGUGGACGCGGGUAUCUUGCUAAGGCUGCUUUCAAUGCAUUGAUGCUUACAUGAGGUGCUAAGUAUAUUAAAUACUUUAGCAAUUAAAGACCUCAAUGCAUAUGUGCUUAAUUUGUUGGUGCUAAGUAUCCUUCAUUUAAUGAUUUUGCAACUAAAGUUCUUCAUACAUUGGUGGAAUUCUUCAAUUUAAGUGUUUUGCCUAGGUUCUCGCGCUUGGUGUGGUUUCUUCCUGGGUCACCACACUCAUCUCUCUCCUCUUAAUUACCUUGCCACAUCAGAAUUUUUGCCUACAUGGCAGGCUUAGCACCUGUACAAGGUGAAGCAUUGGGAAGGGCCUAAGGCUACUACCAAUGCAAAGGUGCUUACAUGAGGUGCUAAGUGUAUUAAAUAUCUUAGCAACUAGUCUUCCCAAUGCAUAGUUGCUUAGCUUUUGUACUACCUCUCUCUCAGUUUACAGGGUGUGCGCGUGCCCCUAGGUCGUUAAUUUGACCAACUUAAUACAAGUCAUAUAUUACAAAAAAUUUAUCAAUAUAAACUUCAGAUGUUCUAUUUUCAAACCGUAUAAUUUUUGUGUUAUAUAGUUUAUAUUAAGAUGAUAAAAUUGACAACCUAGGUAUACGCGUAGGACUUGUAAACUGAAACGGAGGUAGUAGCUAAGCUCCUCUCAUUGAAUUGUUUAAUAAUUAAACUCCUUCAUCUAUUGGUUGGUAGUCAUUUUGUAUAGGUCCACGUGCUUAGCACUGUUUCCUCUUGGGGUCACCAUAAUGUUCUCUCUCCUUUUUAAUUGCUUUGCCACAUCACAUUUUUGACUAUGUGGCAUCCUUAGCACCUGUACACCGUGGAGCAUUGGGAGGGGCCUAAUGCAGUAGUACGACUCUACUUUUGUGCACAUCCCGAUGCAAUGAAUACUUUGAGCUGCCACGUGUAUUCCAAGGUGUAGCUUAUGAGGAACAUUGUAUCUCCAACCGAUCGAUUUAUUAUUAGAGGCAAUAUCACCAGUAAUUAUAGAACUUGCGUUUGAUGUUUAGUUUGAUGCUAGAACUUUAAAAAUACGUAUUUGUGAUCACAUAACUUGAGAUGGCGUGCAAAUUCGGUGAUUUCUCUCGUAUCGGGCUGUAUGGCAAUGCCCAUUUGACUGAACAUCGAGUGCAAGUUCUAUGAUUCUCGAUGAUAUUACAUCUUAUAAUUUAUUUGAUAACUCUAACAGAUGAGUUUGCUUGCUUGUCAGUAUCAACAACUUUGUGGCACACUUAAGCACAUUUUUAUUAGAACCACUUAAGCACAGUUUAAUGGACUGAUAGACGGUGAUGACGAAAAGGACAUGUGGUUGGACUUCCGCCGCCGCACCUCAACACAUCAGCAAUGACCAGAUGACGAAACUGAUUGGACAAAUCUGAUGCGAUGCGCUCCUCCGGCUAGCGCCAAGUGGAUGCAUCCCGAUUCGUCUCUCCUAUGCUGCAAUGAAGAUUUCAUUUCAGAAAAUGGUGCAUGGACAAUGCUUUUUGUGAAAAGUUCAGGCCAUUUAUUCAACAUUUUAGCUAUAUGUAUCUCGCAAAAAAAAAACUUAGGCUAUACAUACAUCACCUGGAAAUUGGUUUUUUUUGGGGCCAGUCUUUUUUGGCCGAUGAUUCCUGCUCUCAGAUUCGUGCUUUUUUUUUCCUAGGCUGUUUUGUCACCAUGUUUGGGCUGUUUCUUUUUGCACUUUAGCUACUUGUAAGUUGCCUGACUUUUGAAUUUGGGUCCGUCAAUUUUCUGGCCAUUGAUUUUUGCUCUAAGAUUCGUGCUGCAUUUUUUUCUGCCAUGUGUUGUUUGUUGGGUUGUGCUUGUUUUUUUCCGACUGAUCCCAUAUUUGGGUCAGUGGAUUUGCUACUGGGCCAAAGCCCACUAAGUGUGUGAUCAAGCUCUCCUCUAUCCCUUUGUUUCUUUUCUGUUUUUAUGUGUUUUUGCUUUUAUUUCUUCUUCCAUGUAAACUGUGUGACGGAUGAAUAAAAAGCUUUGUGAGUUUGCCUCAAAAAAAUGUGUUAUUGCUUUUUUUUCUUUGUUAGUUGGUUUUUAUUUUUAUUUGAUGUUGGAUAAGUGUAUAUGUAUACACUUGAAUACAAUGCAAUAUGUGUGAAAAUUACACUCUUAUAUGAUUAUUGUUUGCAUACUACAAAAAGUGCAAUUUUAGAGCAAAGUUGUGUGCAAUUUUUUAAAUCUUUUUACAUUAUCUUUCUUCUUUAAAUGGUAAUACUAUUGAUACGGAUUCAUUGUUCUUUAUUUUGAAAUUUUUAGUUAUUAUUUAUUGUCUUUCUUCUUCAAGGGUAAAAUCAGUGUGACUAAAUUCAUUGCUUCUUAGGAGUUGGUUUUGUGAAAAUUCUACUAUUAUGUGUUUAUUCUUGCAUACGUUUGAAUUACACAUUUUUUGUGAAUAUUGUGUGCACCUUUUGUCAUUGUUUCUUUUUUUUUACCGACCUCUGGGUAAUAACNNNNNNNNNNNNNNNNNNNNNNNNNNNNNNNNNNNNNNNNNNNNNNNNNNNNNNNNNNNNNNNNNNNNNNNNNNNNNNNNNNNNNNNNNNNNNNNNNNNNNNNNNNNNNNNNNNNNNNNNNNNNNNNNNNNNNNNNNNNNNNNNNNNNNNNNNNNNNNNNNNNNNNNNNNNNNNNNNNNNNNNNNNNNNNNNNNNNNNNNNNNNNNNNNNNNNNNNNNNNNNNNNNNNNNNNNNNNNNNNNNNNNNNNNNNNNNNNNNNNNNNNNNNNNNNNNNNNNNNNNNNNNNNNNNAUAACGAUGCCACUAAUUUAUUAUUCCUUACAAACCUUCAUUAUUUUGAUUUUAUUUAAGUUUUUAUUUUCUUUCUUCUUUAAGGGUAAGACCAAUGCCACUAAUUCAUUCCUUCUUAAGAUUGCCUUCUUAAGAUUGCUUUUCGCGAAUUUCACUAUUUAUAUGCUUAUUACUGUGUAUUAUUAAAAAGCGCAUUUUUAUGAAAAUUGUGUGCAAAUUAUUUCUUUUAUACUUUUCUUUCUUAAUAAAUGGCAACACCAAUUCCAUUAAUUUAUUCUUUCUUAGAAACUUCAUUAUAAUGAUUUUGUUUUAGUUUAUAAAGGGUAAUAUCGAAGCCACUAAUUUAUUCUUUCUUAGAACUACUUCAUUAUUUUGAUUUUGUAUGAGUUUUCGAUUCAUUUUCUUUUAUUUCUUAAAAAAUCACUAUGAUUAUUUUGUUUUAGUUUCUAUUUUAUUUCCUUUCCUAUUAAAGGGUAAUACCAAAGCCACUAAUACAUUCUUUAUUAGAAAAUCUUCAUUAUUUUGAUUUUGUUUUAGUUUUGUUCCAUUUUUCUUUACUGGUAAUACCAAUGCCACAAAUUCUUUCCUUCUUAGGAAAUUUCCUUUUUUGUCAAAUUUCACUAUUAUAUGCUUGCUCUUGCAUAUUAUAGAAAGUGCAAUUUCUAUGUAAAUUAUGUGCAAAUUUUGAUAUCUUCUGUUUUAGAUUAGUUUUAAUUUUCUUUCCUCGUAAAUGUAAUACAAAUCCGCUAAUUAAUUAUUCCUUAGAAAACUUCAUAUUAUGAUUUUUUAGUUUAUAUUUAUUUAUUUAAUUAAUUAAUUUCUUUCUUCUUAAAGUGUAGUACCAAUCUUAGAAAACUUCCUUUUUAUGUGAAAAAUCCAGUAUUAUAUGCUUAGUCUUCAUAUUAGAAAAAACACAAUUUUUUUUACUAAAUUGUGUGUUAGUUUUUUAUUUACUUCCUUUAUUUUCUUUCUUCUUAAAAGGUGAUACUAAUGCCACAAAUUUAUUAUUUCAUAGAAAACUUCAUUAUUCUUCUUUUGAGAAAUAAAGAUGCUACCAAUGCAACUAAUUCAUGCACUCUUUAGAAAAAUUCUUCAUUUGCAAAAAAUCCACUAUUACAUAUUGAUUCUUGCAUAUUAUAACAAAGUGCAAUGUCUGUGUAAAUUGUGCGCAAAUUUUAGUUUUUUAUUUCUUUUUCAUUAUGAACAAUAUCAAAGUCACUAAUUCAUUUCUACUAAGGAAACUUCUUUUUGCACAAAAAAAUCACUACUAUAAGUUUAUCCUUGCAUAUUAUAAAAAGUGUAACCCCUGUGUAAAUCGUGUGCAAAUUUUGUCAUUAUUUUAUUUUAUUUUAUACGUUCCUUCUUUCUAAAGGGUAAUAUCAAUGCACUAACUAAUUCUUCCAUAGAAAGCUUCAUUUUUUUAAUUUUUUUAUUGGCACUAGUUCUUUUAUUGAACUAACACACGAUACAAAGAGAUGGAUAAACAUUGACCGAGUGGGUUCCCUGUAGCUUGUGAUCCAGAUGCCUUCACAUUUUAUCUUCAUUAUUAAUUGUCUUUUUUAUCUCUCGCAUGCACACAUGGGGUUUUAUGCAAAUUUGUAGGAGUACUAUACUAUAUGUGCGCAUACAAAGAAGUACAAAAAAAUUGAGUUGUAGAAUUUUGUUUCUUCAAAAUUCAAAAAAAAAAGACAUGAUCAUGGUGCCGAUGCUAACAAUAUUUGGUAUCUAGCAUGUGGUGUGGAAUAUGGUGUGGUUGUGCUUUAUCUACUCCGAGCGAGCUAGCUUAGCAUGCAUGCGAGCGGUAGGACAAAGCAACGUAAUAACAGCAGUUGCACAACCGGUAGCUCGCCGAGCCCACGCCUGGGCCGCGAUGUGGACGGAGAAAAAGUGACUGGCCCAAAUUUGUAAAUUCAGUCACCUGACCUCUAGGCACACCCUUCUUUUUGACUGGCAACAUAUUUGGAUCAGUCGAUUUGCUACUGGGCUGAACCUCAUUAAUAUACCGCCCAACCCUCCCCCACCCCCCACCCCACCCACCCCUCUCUCUCUUUGGUUUUCUAUGCUUUUCUGUUUGUAUGUAUUUCUCCUUUUGUUUUUGUUUUUCUUAAUUAGUUGGUUUCUAUUUUUUUAUUGGCAGUUUUCGGAUGUUGGGUAGGUGUACAUAUAUACACAGAAAUACUAUGCAAUAUGUGCGAAAAUUACACUAUUAUAAGAUUUUUUUUUCGUAUACUAUAGAAAGUGCAAUUAUAGUGCAAAGUUGUGUGCAAGUUUUUUUCUUCAGUUUUUCCACUAUCUUUCUUCUUAAAGAGUAAUACCAAUUUGUUGUUCCUUAGAAAAAUGUAUUGUUAUUUUGAUUUAUUUCUUGUUUUAUUUUCUUUCUUCUUUAAAGGUAAUACCAAUGCCACUUGUUAAUUCAUUCUUAGGCAACCUUUAAAAAAAUAAUAUUAUAUUCUUAUUCUUGCAUAUUUUAAAAAGUGCAAUUUGUGUGCAUAUUAUGUGCAAAAUUCAUUUUUUUUCCUUCCUUCUUAAAGGGUAAUACCAAUGCCACCAAUUUAUUAUUCCUUUGAAAAGCUCAAUAUUUCGAUUUUGUUUUAGUUUUCCUUUCAUUAUCGUUACUAAUGCCACUAAUUCAUUCUUUCAUGGAGAACUUCAGUAUUAUUAUUAGUUUGAUUUACUUUUAUUUCAUUUUCUUUCUUCUUUAAUGAUAACACCAAUGUCGCUAAUUCAUUCCUUCUUAGGAAACUUCUUUUGUUGUGAAAAUAUCACUAUUAUAAGCCUGUUCUUGCAUAUUAUUAAAUCCCGCAAUUUAUGUGUAAAUUGUGUGCAAAUUUUGUCAUUGUUUUUUUAUCAUUUUGUUUCUUCUUAAAGGGUAAUGCCAAUCCGACUAAUUCAUUAUUUAUUAGAAAAUUUUAUCAUUUUCAUUUUAUUUAGUUUUCAGUUCUUUUCUUUCUUCUGAAGGGGGCCACUGAUUCUUUAUUUCUUAGUAAACUUCAUUAUUUUUUUAUUGCUUGAUUUUUUUAUUUUCAUUCUUUCAAAUGAUAAUACCGAUGCCACUAAUUCAUUAUUCCUUCAUAAAGUUCAUUAUUUAGUUUUUUAGUUUUAUUUCAUUUUCUUUCUUCUAUAAGGGUAAUACCAAAUUUUCCCACUAAUUCAUUCCUACAUAGGAAUUUGCUUUUUGCACAAAUUUCACUAUUCUAUGCCUAUUAUUGCAUACAUUAUAAAAGAGUGCAGUUUCUAUGUAAAUUGUGUGCAAAUUUUGUCAUUGUUUUUUUAGUAUUUUUCAUUUUCUUUCUUCUUAAAGGGUAAUACCUAUGCCACUAAUUCAUUCUUUCUUAGAAAACUUUAUUAUUAUGAUUUUGUUUUAGUUUUUAUAUCAUGCAAAUUCAUUCUGUUUUAUAAAAAGUGAACACAAAUUUACGCAAAUUUGAUUCAAACUAGUCAAUCAAACUCAAUUCAAAUUAAUAGAAUAAACUAUAUUACAUAAAUUCAAAUGAAGUCUGAACUAAAAUUGCAUAAAAACUAGUCCUUGGCUAUGGGCUUCUCCCGAUUCCGCUCGUCGUUGACGUCCAUGUCGUUGCCAUUGUCGACAUUGCCCUCGCCCGCUCCGUCAUCGGACCCGGACCCGGACCUGGAACCAUUGUUGCAGCAAAGUCGAUAACCGGCGCACAGAACAGCCGGGCUCCGUCCAUCUUCCCCGAAUUGUACUCCUUAAAUAGUCGGCGCUCUUCCUUGACGCUUUGAAUACCAGUGACAGAGAUCGGCCAUGUACUCCUCGUCAUGGCGCUCCAUCUCAAGGUGCUCGUAGCCCCCCCCCCCCCUUCCUGCAGCUCGUGGGGGCAUCAGGGGUCGAUUGGGGCCAAAGCCGGCAUGUCGGGGCUGCCGAAGGGGAAGUUGAGCCACGUCCUGGAGGCACAUGACCUGAAUGUCGUACACCCACGCUGCUUGAGCCGCAAACUGGUAGGAGCUGAUCCAGAUGUAGUGAUGGGUUUCAUGGUCCCUAAUCUCGAUCACCAAUGAUCGUUCCAGCAUGUCGUGGUACCUCCUCUGCGGUACCGACGCCGGUGGCAGGCCGGGGAACCGAGAGGAGGACGCGCCACCACGGGAGGAUUCAUCACGACCUCGAGCUCGGAUGGUUGGUCGUGGCGGCAUGAAUCCGCAUUUCUAAUCGUCGUCUGGAUCUGGCCAUUUGGGCGGCGGGGGCGGUGCCAGAGUGGAUGCGGGGGCGUCCCGGCGAGGAAGCGGGGUACAAUUUAGGAUUGCAAAAUAGAUUGGGUUGCGCCGGAAUGAAAUGCGGCCGAGCGGUAGGGAAAGAGCUCGAUUUUACUCGCCGAAUGGGCGACUGAGUAAAUAUAAGGGUCAGGGCGGCGGACGAGUAUAAAUUUUACCCCUUUAACAUCGAUAAGGGAUCUGCGAGGUGCGAUUUAGCCGUUUAAAACCGGGUUUUUACUUGAGUAAAAUGCAUCAGUGGUCACUGAACUUAUCGUGUACGCCCACUUUGAUCAUUAUACUUAAGAAUACGGUUAAUACGGUCACUAAAUACGAGUUGCGAUGAUUAUACGGUCACUGUCUUUUCAUAUAGCUUCGUAUUUUAUUGAGUUGACCGGUCAAACAGUUUGAAUGAUGCUUGUCUGUGAGUGGAAGAAACAAGUAGAGGCAAAAUAAAAUAGUGACAUAGUGUGGAAUCAAACCCCAAACACAGCGCUAGGAUGUCAGCAAGCUAGCCCGCUGUGGUCACCUCUCCUUGUGUCUAAACUGGAGAAAGGCAUCCUGCUGUAACGUUAUGCAUUAACGUGACAGCCAUGACACGUCGUUUGUUGCUUGCUGUGCUUGAGCUUGUACUAGAUGACCCGUUGCGUCGUUUGUUGCUUGCUGUGCUUGAGCUUGUACUAGAUGACCCGUUGCGUCGUUUGUUGCUUGCUGUGCUUGAGCUUGUACUAGAUGACCCGUUGCGCCAAUGGCGCAAAGGCCGAGAGGAAUGCAAGUAUUGAAAGAGUGUACAUAAAUAUAUUUAGGGACUGAUUGGAACACAUGGAUUAUUCAUGAUACAUAGUGUUAUAAGAAGUUUACGAUAGAUUAUUUACAAUGCUAUUAGGAAGGAAGGUAGAUAGGCAGAGAUACAUAUUGUGUUCACUAAUUUAGUCUCAGAUGAGUAAAGUAAAUGAAUGUAUGUUCAUAGCGAAGGUACUAAAAGGACGAACCACAGUGGGCAAAAGCAAAGAUGCAACAUAGAUAAAUAACAUUGUCUCAACACAUCAACAUGGAUUUCAUAAUUAUACAUGACCAUAGCACAGUUCAAAAAGGGGGGGGGGGGAAUCUAAGGCGGAGCUAUAAACAAAGAGCUUCGCAUCUUAUUCAGCCAACAUAGGAGAAUAAACACAACAGCCACAAGGCCAAGUCGUAAUGGUGAAGCUAUACAUAUACAGCUUCACAUGGCAUCAGACAUCUUAGCAGGCUGAAUACGAUGCUCAUGGGGAUCGGACAUAGUGAUCAUAGUCGUCGUCCACGUCUUGACGACAAUCAUCAGCUGAAUCUUCAUCAGAAUGCCCACUAUAGAAUGGAUCAGGCACUUCAUCAUCUGAGUACAUGCCUUUUUCCUCUAGGAACUGAGAUGUUGUGGCUGAAGUGUUUUGAAGUGCGACCACUACAUCGUGAAUCUCCAUGAGAGCCUGCUUCAGAUUAGAAACAGACAUUGAGGCAGCAGGGUCCGAGGCUAAUGCCAGCAAGGCCAUGAAUUUUGUUUGAUGUAGCACACACUUCUUCCACAUAGUUGCAUGCUUCUUUAGUUAUCUUGUAGCUUAUUUACAUUGUUUUUAACAAGCAAGACACAUAGGUAGAGAUGCAUCAUAUAGACACCUUUGAAUUUGCUAUAUAUAAUUGGUAGUGUCAUGAUGAAUAUGUAGUAGUACCAAUACAACUGAGGGGAUACAUCAAUAUUAAUAAGUCCUUGAUUACAUUUAGUAUACAUGGCAACGGAAGGAUGCGUAUAACAUAGAUGCUUACUAUAGUCUAAGGCCUAUGCAUGUCUUAAUCUUCAGAGCAAGAACAAAAGGGUUAAGAAAUCACUGAAACUAAAUCUGGACUACGCUGCAGAUGAAACAAUGGUACUUUAGUGGUCACGUAGGCAUGGCAGUUAGGUUAGAUGCAGCAAAGGUAAUUAGAAACGGUCUUUCAUUCUUUCUAGGCGUUGUUCUACUUACCAUAAACAAAAAGGUUGGAAAUAUAGAUUGAUUACAUAGGCAAGCAGUGAGCUGGCGCUGACGGGUACCCUCCUUAGCUACAGCUGCAAUGACCACAAAGUGGGGCUUCAUGAGGGCAAAUGUUCUCCUUAAAACUCGGUACCAAAGCUCAAGGAAGACUGCUUUGCACCCCUGUCAGCACCAUCUGAGGUGGUGGAUCUGUAAGAGAAUCAACAAUAUGACAGGAAAUGCUAUCAAUUGCAAGAUCAAUAUAUGUCUUAAUUUGCUCAUGAUCUAAUAGAGUAAUCAAAUAAAAUCCCAGGUAACCACCUCGUACAGAAAACAAAGGGCAUUUAAAUCCUGAAACCUGAAGAUAUUAGAUAUACAUGGUGUUCUGCCACAUAUACCAUGAAGGAAAAUAAUAGCACAAAAGUAGAAGUUAUAUUCUAAUGCAAUACAUGUACUAUAUGUAUCCUGGAAAUAUAAACAGAAAAACAACAUGACUGAGAAAUAUACACCGUGCACGUUCAGAUAUUCAUGCUUAAAGGAAGUGCAAUGUAUACUGUGGAAUCACACAACCUAAAUCCAUCUUCGUCUAGAAGACUGCAUCAUAACCAUACAUCAAGAAAUUAAUGGAAAAGGGGGUUUGCCCGGACGACGAAAAAUUGUGUGACAGGCGGCAUGGAGUUUUUAUAUUUCCAAGCCAAAAUAUAUUACAAACAAAAACAUUAGAGACAAUCGCCAUGAAGAACUAAGCAUCUAUAUGGAGUGGGGUGAGAGAUGGACCCUUCAACAUUUCAUUGCCCACCGUUAUCCCUAAAUGACAUGCAUUCAUUCUUCAUCCUGGAAGCACCGAUGCUGCACCAAGUUGUCAAACGUCAAUGAUAAAUCAAAUACAUAUUUAUAAAUAAGACUGUUUAGAUAUGUUGAUCCGGCAAAAUAAUUAAAUGGGUGGUCAUUAUUAGGAAUGCUUCUUGGGGCCUGCUAAUGAAUGGAAAGCUAUAGUACAUAGGAGUCUAAAUGCUACAAAAGAUUCUUUCUCUUGGAACAUCAGAUUGCCACAAAUGUAUACUUUUUUCCUUCAGCCUGCUUAUGUUCUGGUAUUCAUGACAAGCAAGUGACCUGCAUUUUCACCCCUAGUGUGGUACCAUUUUUUAUCAGCUGUAUUAAAAAUGAACUAUGUGGUUAGGCUCAUGAUUGCCAAGAACAAUUACUACGUUGCUAGUGUGGCUAUCGACCUAUUACAGACCAAACUAUACUUUAGUUGUUUCUGUUUAUCUAGGAACUUCAGGUAUUGCAUUUGCAACAGACAGGUAUUAAUAACCACAUAAGAUUGACAAACAAAUAUAGUAUCUUGGCUGCAUCAUACAUUUUAAAGGUUAGGUACCUAGCAGCGUUCUAGUGGGGAGUGCUGAUUUUGAUCCAUUAUCAGGUGAUUCAAGAGAUUCCUAAUGAACCAAGACCAUACAGUUUGAGACCAACAAAGCAGUACAAAAGAACAAACAGAAGGUACCUCUUGUGGUAAUGUCUUGGCAUGUCGUCGAUUGGUAGCACUGGAGUUCGAACAAUUCCAUCUCUCUGCAUAAUUGAAUACAUCCUUUCAGCUGAACUGAGCAUGUUUCAGAAGCCCAGGAUGCUGUCACCAAGAGCAUCCUUUUGCAGGUCACGCCAUCGACGAAAUAUCAAUAUUCCUUCCUCUUUCAAUGUAUCGUCAGGUAACCUAUCUUAUUUCCCCAAACUAAGAUUGUCUGACUGCCUUGCUAUCGCCUACUAAAGGCACUGUUAUGUGGAUUUAAACGAACUGCCUGCAGUACAUAAAAGUUAUAUCAACUCACAUAUAAAAAAGGUUAAAUAUCUAUUUCAUGAAUACAUUAAUAUUUCCCUGAAGUAAAAAACCUAAAUAACCAGUUCUAAGUUUAGCUGAAACUUCGACUGAGUUACUGAGUCACUCAUUGUUCUGUUCAUAGCUUUUAAACCGCUUAACCGAUCUCAGCAAAUAAACUAUUUUAAGAUACCCACAGAGAAUUUCCUACAACUUUAUUUAAGGUGAUUGGGACUAAAACUGUCUCUAACUUGGUUGAAUAUAGGUAAAUAGAUCUCACAGCCUCGCUAUUAUUAAACAGUAGCACCUAUUCUGGCCUAACUCCUAAACUACCAAUCAAAUUUCAGUGAAACCAGCACCAUUGGAAACAUAAAAACAAGAGCAACAACUGUUGUUUUAGGAGUACAUUGAAAUUCCGCACAGAUUAUGCCCAUAAUUUGAAAGAAACUUAGUGCUAAAAUAUACUACCUAGCAGCUACGAAUCUGAAUAUAAUUCUGCCUUAUCUCAGCACCUGCUUGUGUUUGCUACAGGAGAAAAGAAACAAAAUACGGACAUCAUCUGCAGCUUGCUGUGAGCAGAUGCCAACUCCAACGGGGCUGAACCCGGGCUUCGUCUUCCUCCUUGCUAGUCUGUGAUGCAAGCUUACAUAGGCAAGCAUCUAAGUGUUACAAAUAUACUUGUGUAUUUCUACAGGGAGGCAGACCUAAAGUUUUUUUAGACAUGCACAUAAUUAAGGGAGGUUUAUGGCUGAUUCAGUUCAAGCAAGUCGCCUUUUUCCAUACUUGUUUAGAAGUGUAAAUACUUGUUUAAACGUUACUACAAUCCUCAGGGGAAAUCAGCUAUGCAGACCAAAAAGAUGACAAAUUUAGAAGUUUGUAGUUAUUACCAAAGCAAUCACCAGAAAGAUCAAUUUGUAUGUAUUGACAAAUUUAGAAGUGUGUAGUUAUCCACUUAUCCUUACUCGGAUGUACUGACAAGAACAACUGAAAGGCAUCGCUAUCCCGUGAGAACCAAUCAGUGUGCUUUGUAUGAUAAAAAUGAAAGACUGCAACUUUCAUGACUAAUGUCUGAUAUGACAAAAACCAGUCUGGAAUUUGGUUGUUAGUGGGCUCCCCUGUUUUUUUUUGUCGACCUCAGCCACGGAUCAGUCCCCACGACACACCCCAUGGCACAGAGAUGAUACCUGCAUAUGGCAAAGCGAACGAAUCAGCACAUGGCAUAGGCUAGUAGCUGCAAAAGCCAAUUGCUAAAGGAACCCACAUUGGGCUCCCCUGAUGUGCAGCUUCACCACCUGGUGCAGUCCAUUACUGAUGUUUGCCGCAUUUCUUAUAGAAGCAUCUUGGAUGAAAAAUCCACUGGUUGGAGCGCAUCUACAAAGGGAAACACAAUAAUAAAAUAACCAUGAGUGGAUGGUGUGGGAUAGUUCUAGUUUCUUGAUAAAACUAAGAUAACGGUGAUGGAAUCAUACCUCUUAUUCUGCUAUGAUAACAUAUAUGCUAGAUCAGUUGUUAGAAUCCACGCGUAAAACAGCAUGGAAGUUUCUUCAAUAUGCAAGUACUUGGUUUGGCCUGGUACAGAAAAGUCUUUCGAUUUGUGUCGUGCUCUUGAGAAAAGACAGAAUAUGAUUAAGCAUAUAACAAAGUCAUUUGUAUUCAUUUUUGUGUGGACAAGUACUCUAUUUAUUCACUGACUCGAAAAAUAGGACAGUAUGCUUCUCGACAUUUCCUUGUGUAAAGCAAAACUAACCAAAUUCUCUUUUUUACUUCCUUAAUUGACUACAAAUUCAAAUAGUACAUUUAAAAUGUUGUUGAACCAUUUCCUUUUGGCAGGCGUAUGCUGAAAAAAAAAGUAUUCGAAUGUAUAUUUUUUGUGCACACUAAUCACCACUCAGAAAAUAUGUUAAAAAGGCCCAUAUAAAUUAGGCAAAUUGGGACAUGGUACACCAAGUAACUGCCCAGUUCUUGCACAUCCGAAUAGAACAAAAAAAAUCCUCCACCACCAGAGGAACCGAACCUAUGAAUGUAUUAACAAAGAAUAGGUACACAUCAGAUUGACCUCAAACUUUAUCUCAAAGCAAACACCACAUAAAACGCAAUACAACAUGGAGGCAUCGUCCAAUGGUCACUCAUGGCAUGAUCACGUCUACAGAAUUCCACAUCUGAACAGCAGAAAAAAACAUCCACAUCCAGAAAGCCCAAAUCUAUGAAUGAAGUCACACUGAAUUAUAGAUCAGAUCAACCUCAAACUUUGUCUCACAGCCUAAAGCACAUUAAAACAUGGAUGCAUCAUCCAGGCAAGCCAUCUGAUGGAACAUGGGAAGACCUCCACAUCCAACAGAGUAAUUUGCUAUGAGGAAAGGGGAUUGAGCUGACCUGGGUCAUGGGUGCAGAGGGACUGAGAAGGUGCCGAUAACCUGUUGAUCCUGCAAGAUGUGUGGGAAUCCCACAAGAAUCAAAUGCCUCAGGGAUCUCCUCCCGCUGGAUCCAGUACCAGCAAAUCCCUGAGAUGAUGAACACCAUAGGGAUAGUAGGCAAAGGGAAAUGCAUAACAUAUUAAGCGGCCGGUGUUACAUGUUUACAAACGGAUUGAAGAACAGGGAAAUACAACGAUGGCGCUAUAUCUCAGCAGCGCGUGACGUAGUAGUGUCGCCGCCGGCGACGGCCUCCCUUGUUUCCAUCAGGUCGUCGAUAAGCCUGCGCAGAUCACAGGACGACCCGCCUUCCGACACGGCCGCGCGAGCCUUCACUGCGAGCCCCUGCACUCGGCCCCUCGCCGUCUCCCCCGUUCCGCCUGGUUCCAAGAACCUCGCCACCGCCCAACGUCACCGCCUUGGCCGGCACCAUCUCCUUCUCCUCCUUCGUGCUCCGCGCUCUGCCCCACACCUUCUCGCCGAUCUUGGGGACGUCGGUGACCAGCCUCUCCUCGAUGAACCGGUCGAACACCAGCGGCCAUGUCUGCAUCGGCGCGCCGGCCGCCGCCGCCGCCUCCAGCAGCGAGCUCGACCCACAGUGCGCCAGGAACGCCCCCACUGCCAGAUGAGCCAGGAUCGCGGUCUUCGGGGCCCACGCCCGUCCCACCCCGCCGUUGGGAAUAAAGCAAUAGGAGGGGGGAGUGGACGUAGGCGGGGACCGAACGGUGGAGAUCCAGUGGCUGCAGAUGCGUCGAGGACUUGGCGCUUGGAUGGAUGACGAGGAUGCCGAUGACGGACGAUCUCAAGGCCAGCCAAGGGCUCUGGCGUCAGCCAUGGCGGCCCGGACACCGAGGACAAGGGCGCUCUCUUCCCCCACCACCACUUUUCAUCGGCGGCCAGAUCCAGAAUCACGGCACGCGGCGCGUGACGCCGGCGACCGGCGCCCGACCCGGCUGGAUCGAGAACGUAGUGGCGCCCCGCGGCUGCACAUCAAGCGCCGGGGAGAGAAGGCGGCGGUGCCAGAGCAGGGGAGACGGGACAGCGUGGAGAGAGAAGAAGAAGGGCUCGAGGACGGAGAGGAUUGGAAGUGCGGUGGAUUUCGGGAAGAGGAUUGGUCUGGCUCUCGUCUCAGGAUUGGUCCUGGCUUUCCAUCCCACGUCCCAUGAUCGCUGCAUCCCACCUCUCUUUUCCAGCCUAACACUCGCACACACGCACAUAGUGACUGAAACGCCGGGCCCGCUGCAUAUUGGCCCACACGUCAUCAACAUUAAACACGAACCAGCAGCCCACAGCCGAUGUCGUGUGAGCGACAAGCGCUCCAGUCCAUCGCUCCUUUUACUACAGAAGACGGUCUGUAUUUCUCACACGGACGACGCACGCCCGGCACACUGCGCCGCUGGUCCCACGCAUUUGCCUGGCCCAGGCGUCAUCCACCAAAACCCAAAUCCAUGGCGUGAGGUAAGACCAAUGGCAGGAUCUUUGACAGACAGCUGAAAAGUACUGAUAACUAUACACGGACGCGCAUUGGAUGAACCAGAUUGAACGCGCGAAGCAAUUGCUCUGGUUAGGCGGGUACUUUAAGAGGGUUUAUAUGUUCAAAUGGGUGCGUGCAUAUUUGUGGUUGUGUGCGUAUGCAUAUAUUGUACGUGCUUGUGAUAUCUGCGUAUUAUUAUCAUCUCAUCAAUACAUAAUUCAUUCUCCAGACCAAUUACUCUGAUGCAUCUCUCAACUCUCAAGCUCUUUUCAUUUACCCUGUUAGUCUGUUAAUCAAGCUGCACGUUCCGGCUGCUAGUCACUAAUAUUUCUUCAGUUUCGUCACAGAUUGGAGAGCAUGUAGCGUGUGUCGGCAUUUUGUUAGUAGAUUUUUGGCCCAAAGCCCAACUAAAAUUCUAAAAUUCUCUUGGCACAUUCAUGCACACAUAUGAAUGAAGUGAGUGAGGCUAAAGUUUAGUCUCACCCCGAAAGUUGAGGGAAAGUUGCACCUCUUUAUAAGGUGAGCUCUUGACCACUUGUAUGAGCAUGAGAAGAGAAGACCUACACGCACGCUCCUCCUCCCUCGUCACGACGUGCCGCGCCGCGCCGUGGUUGCGGGAUUGAGCCGAGGGCAGAGCUAUGCACGUUGUCUAUAUUUUUGCUGCUCGGGAAAAAAUAAUGAGUCAUUAACUAAUAAUUAAAUUAACAGGCGCGUUAAUUAGUGAACCUUUCCGAUUCUUUUGGAUCGUGACGACUCGGACGUGGGGUUUACUCCCACGACCUGCCCGGCCCGCACUAUGUAGUCAGGCGGACGUCUACCCUAGCCGCCACCGCUUCGUAUGGUUUCUCACCACCGUUCCAGAUCGUUAUGCUGCCAAGCAAGUCUUCUCCAUCCCUCCUUUUGGCGUGCACCAGGAGAAGGGACAGCAGGCCUCCGGAACCCCGCCUUUCGUGAUCCUGGGAGAGGGGCGAUCAGAUUUUUGAGGAGCGCACUCGCGCGACUGCUGGCAGCGACGACUUCUUCCCCGACCUCGGCAACCUCAUCCUCGACGACAUGGGCGACAACGUCAACGCCGGCGGUGCUGCUCCCGCUACACCGUAUGUGAUUCUAUCCUUCCUGUUCGAAAUCGUGGUAGAAUUCAUGUUUCUAGUAUGUGCCCUAAAUGUGAUCUGUUCAUCUGCUAUGGUAGUUCGCAUGAUUAAUUUAAUCUCUACUACUGUAGUCAUGAUUUAUCUUCUAAUUAUUCGAAUUAAAUCUCGUAGUAACUUGCUCAUAUUUCCAACAGCGUGAACCGCCAGCCUUGUACACAUGCAUGGCCUCGUUUUUAUUUCUUGCAUAUAGCUAGCUCGCCGCUAUGUAAGCGUUGGUGGGAUGGCACGAAACCAAGGUAGACAGGGCUGCUUAGUAUGCAAUUGGAAAGUACCUGUUGAAUGGCGCAGCCGACAGUUCGAUCAUGAGGUACACUAGGAUGUUUGGGCUGACUUGAAACAAUCUCAAUAUAAGAGAAAAAAUACCACAGAACUUGAACGUAGCGGCAAAAAAUUCUCUGUAACACUUAGUGUGUGUUGCAUCUACACAACGUUUCCAUGCAUAUCUUUUGUUUAAAAUUGCUAAAAUUCAGCUAAAAUUUAUUUUUGCUAAAAUUGCCGCAUACUGUGUGUGCACUGUGUGCAUGCACGCUAACGUACAAUAAGAAAUUGUGAUGGUUAGUAUAAGUGCACAAUGUUUGAGGUUCGAAUCCCCACCGCGUCACUAUUUUAUUUUGCCUGCGUCGGUACAGAGGAAAAAAAAAAGCUGAGGAGGCAUCAUUCAAACUGUUUGACUAGUCAACUCAACAAAAUACGAAGUUAUACGAUGUGACAGUGACCGUAUAAUCAUCACAACUCGUAUUUAGUGACCGUAUUAACCGUAUUCUUAAGUAUAGUGAUCAAAGUGAACGUACACGACAAGUCCAGUGACCACCAAUGCAUUUUACUCUUUUUACUUCUCUACCAUCUUUCAAGGGGUCGGUUAUAGAUGUUGUAAGAGUCAUUUGUAGUACUUCACUUGCUUUCAACAAAAAUUAUGCCUGGCAUUUCUCAUAUUAGAUUCUCAUCAUGCUUUCAUUUUCAGGGGCUAGGUUAUCAUCUUCGGUCAAACUGAGAAGUUGACCACUCUAGUUGUGCUUUAAGGCAGACAGCGACGAACCAAUGAAUUUGCUUACAAGGUACUCCUACCGCUGAUAAGCCUAUUUUCAAGUACGUGGGAGAUAGUGACAACUUCAAUAGUCAUUCUUGUAACUUUAUAAGAGGGACGUGUGUUGCAUAUGUACACGUUCACUAUGCCUGUGUCUAUGGUACAAACAAGUCAAAAGUGCUUAACCAAUGGAAUUCAAUCGAAGACUGGCCCUAAAACGGCUCGCGUUAAACUGAAUUCAGAGGACGAAACACCCCAAAAUGUGGAAACAGAAUAUUAUCCUAGCAAAUCAAAUUAAGGCGAUCCAAUCACCGCACAUCAAUCAUCCGGCCACCAUCCCUCAACCGCAAUAGAGGGCCAGUUCUUUUCGGCGAUUCUUCCAGAAUCGUCAACCUCCCCAGCUUCUUCCAGAAUCACCAUUCUAUAUAUUUUUUACAAUCCUAGAUAAUUAGACCUUAACUAGAUAGGAUUGUAAAAAAUAUAUAAAGUGGCGAUUCUAAAAGAAGCUAGGGAGGAGGGCGAUUCUGGGAGAAUCGUCCAAAAAAACUGGCCCAGACACUUUUAUCAAAAAAAACCGCAAUAGACACUUCAGUUGUCACAUGUCCCAGCCGUUGUACGGUACUCAGAGGAGUACUAUCGGCGUGGUGUCCAACCAAUUUGAACUGUGGCUGAUGGGGUGCUUUAUUGUCGGCAUUAACUUUGUUGCACAGUUUAAUGGACUGAUGAUAGUAUAGAUGAGGAGGACAACAAGAACAUGUUGUUCAACCUCGGCCGUCACACCUAAGCACGUAUGGGCAUCUUUAACCCCGGGACCACCGGGACAAUUGGUGCUACCGAUGCACUAGACCUCGUUGCACGUUAAAAAAUGUUUGAAAAAUCCAAAAAAAAUUAGUGCAUUGUCACAAUGUCAACUUACAUUGUAAAAAAAUCAAAUUAAAAUUCAAAACAUUUCACGAGAUACAAAAAUGACAAAUUUGACAUCAGUGUGCUAAUGGACCAAAACCGAGACCCAACUUGUGUUAUGUACUAUUCAGUGUCAAAUUUGUCAUUUUUGUACCUGGAGCAGUGUUUUGAAUUUUUGCGACAACAUAUAUUGAUGUUGUGUCAAUGCACUAAUAUUUUUUCUAAUUUUUUGGAAUAUUUUUUAAUGUGCAACGGGGACCGGUAGCACAAAUUACCCCGGUGCACGAGAUACAUCCCCCCUUCAACCCCAACCCCUAACUAUCUACUAAUGUCUGAUCCUAUUUUUUUAAGCUCACGACACUUAUAAGAUUCAUCCAUAAAUUUAAGGGUUGGACGUGCUUUGUUGUGCCAUUGGUGUUGUUGUAUUUUCAUUAAAAAAAAGUACUCUCUUUGUUUCAAAAUAUAAGGUGUAUUAGUUUUUUAAAAAGUCAAACAUAUUUAAGUUUGACCAAACUUAUAGACAAAUAUAUCAAUAUCCAUAAUAUCAAACCAGUAUCAUUAGAUUUAUCAUGAAAUGAAUUUUCAUAUUUUACUUAUUUGGUAUUAUGGAUGUCGAUAUUUUUGGCUCUUAAGUUGAUCAAAGUUAAAAAAAACUGACUUUUCAAAAAAUAACACACCAUAUAUUUGGUAAACAAACGGAGUAUUUGAUUUGGCGAGUUGGGGAGAUGAUAGAGUGUUUUUUAUUUUUAUUCAUAAUGCAGUGUUUUGGUCACUAGUAGAAAAAGGACCUAAUGUGAGACACAUUAGUGUCGGUUUGAUUUUAGCCCGGUACUAAUGGUACCAUUAGUGCCGGUUCAAACGGCUAUGCAUUAAUGCCGGUUCGUGUUGAACCUUUAGUACCGGUUCGUGCCACAAACCGGUACUAAAGGGGUGAUGGCAGGCUGGCGUCAGGCCGGGGCCCCACGAUCACCUUUAGUACCGGUUCGUGUCACAAACCGGUACUAAAGGGCUAACCUUUAGUACCGGUUUGUGCCACGAAUCGGUACUAAAGGGGUCUGACCUAUAGUACCGGUUUGUGACACAAACCGGCACUAUANNNNNNNNNNNNNNNNNNNNNNNNNNNNNNNNNNNNNNNNNNNNNNNNNNNNNNNNNNNNNNNNNNNNNNNNNNNNNNNNNNNNNNNNNNNNNNNNNNNNNNNNNNNNNNNNNNNNNNNNNNNNNNNNNNNNNNNNNNNNNNNNNNNNNNNNNNNNNNNNNNNNNNNNNNNNNNNNNNNNNNNNNNNNNNNNNNNNNNNNNNNNNNNNNNNNNNNNNNNNNNNNNNNNNNNNNNNNNNNNNNNNNNNNNNNNNNNNNNNUUCAGUUCUGAAAAUGAUAAAAACUUCAAAAAAUAAAAUCUUUCAAGAGGUAGUUAUAUUACUACAUCUACUAGUUAGGAAAAUUUGAAAACUUAAAUUUGGACAUGUUUUGCAAAAAGUGUUGGCAAAAUGUAAAACGGCUAUAACUUUUGCAUACGAUGUCGGAAAAAAAUGUAUAAUAUAUCAAAAAAAAUUAGCACGAAAAUCCACAUCCGAUGGAGACCGCCUACGGUCUGUUUGCAAUUUUUUAGAAUCCUCAAAUUCCAAAACGAAAAAAAGAUAUGGUCAAAUUUCAGUUUUUUUCAAUGUUAGGGAUAUCGCUUAUCGGGAACUUAUCGGUCGACCCAUGAUAAGGGAUAAAUCGGCCAGUUUAUCGGCAUAUCGACCAAUUUAUCGCCAUAUCGGCUGAUUUAUCGGGCCAUUUAUCUUAUCAGUCAGACAACGGUAAGUGAUAAAUCGGCCGAUUUAUCGAAAUAUCAGAAGAUAUCUUGAACAUUGUUUUUUUAAAAAAAAUUGGUUAAAUCUGGUCAAACUACUUAUUCAAGAAGUAUUAAUGUUACUACAUAAUUAUUCAAGAAUAUUGGUGUUACUAAAUAAUUAUUUCAAUUUUCUAAAUUUUGGUCAAAUCUGGUCAAACUAUGGUCAAACUAUGGUCAAACUAUGGUCAAACUUAUUCAAGAAAUAUUAGUGUUACUAAAUAAUUACUGUUUUUUAGAAUAAUAGUUUCAAACUCAAACGGUGAAACGUGUGACCUAAUGCUCAAGCUAAACUGCUGAGGGUUAAUAGGAUUGACAGCUUACAUUUGUCAGGAAAACAACAAGUGCAGACUUGGAAUGUAGGGGGAAUAGAACUCCGAAGUUAAGUGUGCUCAGGCUGGGGGAGUGAGAGGAUGGGUGACCGGCCAGGAAGUCAGGCGAUUUGGAAUGGGUGAUCCACACUUGAGCAGUUAAGAGAGGUGAUUAGAGACUAAAUCAUCAAAUAAUUCAGAAAAAUUAAAAAUCGAAAAAAAAUCAGAUUUUUUUUCUAAAAUUUUCAAAAAAAAGUUCAAAAAAAAACCUUUAGUACCGGAUGGUAACACCAACCGGUACUAAAGGACCCCCAUACCAGGGCGCGAGCUCACGCCACGUGGUGGCACUUUAGCGCCGGUUCGUACCGAACCGGUACUAAAGGGGGGGGGGCUUUAGUGCCCACCCUUUAGUGCCGGUUAUGGAACCGGCACUAAAGGCCCUUACGAACCGGCGCUAAAACUCCGUUUUCUACUAGUGGGUGGGCUAUCAUCGUGUGAUUUUGAGUUAUCUAUUAAUCAACGCAUAGUUAUGUGCGGAAAUUUUCUAGGUCGGUGGCCGCAUGUAUUAUAUUGGUGCGACAGUAUAUAUGUUGGCGCUUGUUUUUCUAGGUCAUGAGAGGAUGCAUGGGAUUGAUAUGUUUUUAUAUGUCGGUUGUGUAGGGUUUCGUAGUAAUUUCAAAAAAAUUCCUACGCACACGCAAGAUCAUGGUGAUGCAUAACAACGAGAGGGGAGAGUGUUGUCUACGUACCCACGCAGACCGACUGCGGAAGCGUUGACACAACGUAGAGGAAGUAGUCGUACGUCUUCACGAUCCAACCGAUCAAGCACCGAAACUACGGCACCUCCGAGUUCGAGCACAUGUUCAGCUCGAUGACGAUCCCCAGACUCCGAUCCAGCAAAGUGUCGGGGAAGAGUUCCGUCAGCACGACGGCGUGGUGACGAUCUUGAUGUACUACAGCAGCAGGGCUUCGCCUAAACUCCGCUACAGUAUUAUCGAGGAAUAUGGUGGCUGGGGGCACCGCACACGGCUAAGGAAUAGAUCACGUGGAUCAACAUGUGUGUUUCUGGGGUGCCUCUGCCUCAGUAUAUAAAGGAUUAGAGUGGGGGAGGCUGGCCGGCCACAGGAGGCGCGCCAGGAGAGUCCUACUCCCUCUAGGAGUAGGAUCCCCCCCAAUCCUAGUUGGAAUAGGACUCCUUGAGGGGGGAAAGAGAGAGAGGGGGCCGGCCACCUCUCCUAGUCCUAAUAGGACAAGGGAAAGGGGGGAGGCGCACAGCCACCUUGGGCUGCCCCUUUCUCCUUUCCACUAAAUCCCACUAAGGCCCAUAUAGCUCCCGGGGGGGUCCGAUAACCUCCCGAUACUCCGGUAAAAUCCCGAUUUCACCCGGAACACUUCCGAGAUCCAAACAUAGGCUUCCAAUAUAUCAAUCUUUACGUCUCGACCAUUUCGAGACUCCUCGUCAUGUCCGUGAUCACAUCCGGGACUCCGAACAACCUUCGGUACAUCAAAAUGCAUAAACUCAUAAUAUAACUGUCAUCGUAACCUUAAGCGUGCGGACCCUACGGGUUCGAGAACAAUGUAGACAUGACAGAGACACAUCUCCGGUCAAUAACCAAUAGCGGGACAUGGAUGCCCAUAUUGGCUCCUACAUAUUCUACGAAGAUCUUUAUCGGUCAGACCGCAUAACAACAUACGUUGUUCCCUUUGUCAUCGGUAUGUUACUUGCCCGAGAUUCGAUCGUCGGUAUCCAAUACCUAGUUCAAUCUCGUUACCGGCAAGUCUCUUUACUCGCUCCGUAAUACAUCAUCUCACAACUAACAUAUUAGUUGUAAUGCUUGCAAGGCUUAUGUGAUGUGCUUUACCGAGAGGGCCCAGAGAUACCUCUCCGACAAUCGGAGUGACAAAUCGUAAUCUCAAAAUACGCCAACCCAACAUGUACCUUUGGAGACACCUGUAGUACUCCUUUAUAAUCACCCAGUUACGUUGUGACGUUUGGUAGUACCCAAAGUGUUCCUCCGGUAAACGGGAGUUGCAUAAUCUCAUAGUUAUAGGAACAUGUAUAAGUCAUGAAGAAAGCAAUAGCAACAUACUAAACGAUCGGGUGCUAAGCUAAUGGAAUGGGUCAUGUCAAUCAGAUCAUUCAACUAAUGAUGUGACCUCGUUAAUCAAAUAACAACACUUUGUUCAUGGUCAGGAAACAUAACCAUCUUUGAUUAACGAGCUAGUCAAGUAGAGGCAUACUAGUGACACUAAGUUUGUCUAUGUAUUCACACAUGUAUUAUGUUUCCGGUUAAUACAAUUCUAGCAUGAAUAAUAAGCAUUUAUCAUGAUAUAAGGAAAUAAAUAAUAACUUUAUUAUUGCCUCUAGGGCAUAUUUCCUUCAGUCUCCCACUUGCACUAGAGUCAAUAAUCUAGAUUACACUGUAAUGAUUCUAACACCCAUGGAGCCUUGGUGCUGAUCAUGUUUUGCUCGUGGAAGAGGCUUAGUCAACGGGUCUGCAACAUUCAGAUUCGUAUGUAUCUUGCAAAUCUCUAUGUCUCCCACCUGGACUAGAUCCCGGAUGGAGUUGAAGCGUCUCUUGAUGUGCUUGGUCCUUUUGUGAAAUCUGAAUUCCUUCGCCAAGGCAAUUGCACCAGUAUUGUCACAAAAGAUUUUCAUUGGACCCGAUGCACUAGGUAUGACACCUAGAUCGGAUAUGAACUCCUUCAUCCAGACUCCUUCGUUCGCUGCUUCCGAAGCAGCUAUGUACUCCGCUUCACAUGUAGAUCCCGCUACGACGCUUUGUUUAGAACUGCACCAACUGACAGCUCCACCGUUUAAUGUAAACACGUAUCUGGUUUGCGAUUUAGAAUCGUCCGGAUCAGUGUCAAAGCUUGCACCAACGUAACCUUUUACGGUGAGCUCUUUGUCACCUCCAUAUACGAGAAACAUAUCCUUAGUCCUUUUCAGGUAUUUCAGGAUGUUCUUGACCGCUGUCCAGUGAUCCACUCCUAGAUUACUUUGGUACCUCCCUGCUAAACUUAUAGCAAGGCACACAUCAGGUCUGGUACACAGCAUUGCAUACAUGAUAGAGCCUAUGGCUGAAGCAUAGGGAACAUCUUUCAUUUUCUCUCUAUCUUCUGCAGUGGUCGGGCAUUGAGUCUUACUCAACUUCACACCUUGUAACACAGGCAAGAACCCUUUCUUUGCUUGAUCCAUUUUGAACUUCUUCAAAACUUUGUCAAGGUAUGUGCUUUGUGAAAGUCCAAUUAAGCGUCUUGAUCUAUCUCUGUAGAUCUUAAUGCCUAAUAUGUAAGCAGCUUCACCGAGGUCUUUCAUUGAAAAACUCUUAUUCAAGUAUCCCUUUAUGCUAUCCAGAAAUUCUAUAUCAUUUCCAAUUAGUAAUAUGUCAUCCACAUAUAAUAUCAGAAAUGCUACAGAGCUCCCACUCACUUUCUUGUAAAUACAGGCUUCUCCGAAAGUCUAUAUAAAACCAAAUGCUUUGAUCAUACUAUCAAAGUGUUUAUUCCAACUCCGAGAUGCUUGCACCAGUCCAUAAAUGGAUCGCUGGAGCUUGCACACUUUGUUAGCUCCCUUUGGAUCGACAAAACCUUCCGGUUGCAUCAUAUACAGCUCUUCUUCCAGAAAUCCAUUCAGGAAUGCAGUUUUGACAUCCAUCUGCCAAAUUUCAUAAUCAUAAAAUGCGGCAAUCGCUAACAUGAUUCGGACAGACUUAAGCAUCGCUACAGGUGAGAAAGUCUCAUCGUAGUCAACCCCUUGAACUUGUCGAAAACCUUUCGCGACAAGUCGAGCUUUGUAGACAGUAACAUUACCAUCAGCGUCAGUCUUCUUCUUGAAGAUCCAUUUAUUCUCAAUUGCUUGCCGAUCAUCGGGCAAGUCAACCAAAGUCCAUACUUUGUUCUCAUACAUGGAUCCCAUCUCAGAUUUCAUGGCUUCAAGCCACUUUGCGGAAUCUGGGCUCACCAUUGCUUUUCAUAGUUCGUAGGUUCAUCAUGAUCUAGUAGCAUGACUUCCAGAACGGGAUUACCGUACCACUCUGGUGCGGAUCUUACUCUGGUUGAUCUACGAGGUUCAGUAGUAUCUUGAUCUGAAGUUUCAUGAUCAUUAUCAUUAGCUUCCUCACUAACUGCUGUAGGUGUCACUGAAACAGUUUUCUGUGAUGUACUACUUUCCAGUAAGGGAGCAGGUACAGUUACCUCGUCAAGUUCUACUUUCCUCCCACUCACUUCUUUCGAGAGAAACUCCUUCUCUAGAAAGGAUCCAUUCUUAGCAACGAAUGUCUUGCCUUCGGAUCUGUGAUAGAAGGUGUACCCAACAGUCUCCUUUGGGUAUCCUAUGAAGACACAUUUCUCCGAUUUGGGUUCGAGCUUAUCAGGUUGAAGCUUUUUCACAUAAGCAUCGCAGCCCCAAACUUUAAGAAAUGACAACUUUGGUUUCUUGCCAAACCAUAGUUCAUAAGAUGUCAUCUCAACGGAUUUUGAUGGUGCCCUAUUUAACGUGAAUGCGGCCGUCUCUAAAGCAUAACCCCAAAACGAUAGCGGUAAAUCUGUAAGAGACAUCAUAGAUCGCACCAUAUCUAGUAAAGUACGAUUACAAUGUUCGGACACACCAUUACGCCGUGGUGUUCCGGGUGGCGAGAGUUGCGAAACUAUUCCACAGUUUUUCAAAUGUACACCAAACUCGUAACUCAAAUAUUCUCCUCCACGAUCAGAUCGUAAAAACUUUAUUUUCUUGUUACGAUGAUUUUCAACUUCACUCUGAAAUUCUUUGAACUUUUCAAAUGUUUCAGACUUAUAUUUCAUUAAGUAGAUAUACCCAUAUCUGCUUAAAUCAUCUGUGAAGGUGAGAAAAUAACGAUAUCCGCCACGAGCCUCAAUAUUCAUCGGACCACAUACAUCGGUAUGUAUGAUUUCCAACAAAUCUGUUGCUCUCUCCAUAGUACCGGAGAACGGUGUUUUAGUCAUCUUGCCCACGAGGCACGGUUCGCAAGUACCAAGUGAUUCAUAAUCAAGUGGUUCCAAAAGUCCAUCAGUAUGGAGUUUCUUCAUGCGCUUUACACCGAUAUGACCUAAACGACAGUGCCACAAAUAAGUUGCACUUUCAUUAUCAACUCUGCAUCUUUUGGCUUCAACAUUAUGAAUAUGUGUAUUACUACUAUCGAGAUUCAAUAAGAAUAGAGCACUCUUCAAGGGCGCAUGACCGUAAAAGAUAUUACUCAUAUAAAUAGAACAACCAUUAUUCUCUGAUUUAAAUGAAUAACCGUCUCGCAUCAAACAAGAUCCAGAUAUAAUGUUCAUGCUCAACGCUGGCACUAAAUAACAAUUAUUUAGGUCUAAUAUUAAUCCCGAAGGUAGAUGUAGAGGUAGCGUGCCGACCGCGAUCACAUCGACUUUGGAACCGUUUCCCACGCGCAUCGUCACCUCGUCCUUUGCCAGUGCCCGCUUAUUCCGUAGUCCCUGUUUCGAGUUGCAAAUAUUAGCAACAGAACCAGUAUCAAAUACCCAGGUGCUACUGCAAGCUCUAGUAAGGUACACAUCAAUAACAUGUAUAUCACAUAUACCUUUGUUCACCUUGCCAUCCUUCUUAUCCGCCAAAUACUUGGGGCAGUUCCGCUUCCAGUGACCAGUCUGCUUGCAGUAGAAGCACUCAGUUUCAGGCUUAGGUCCAGACUUGGGUUUCUUCUCUUGAGUAGCAACUUGCUUGCCGUUCUUCUUGAAGUUCCCCUUCUUCUUCCCUUUGCCCUUUUUCUUGAAACUAGUGGUCUUGUUAACCAUCAACACUUGAUGCUCCUUCUUGAUUUCUACCUCCGCAGCUUUCAGCAUUGCGAAGAGCUCGGGAAUAGUCUUGUUCAUCCCUUGCAUAUUAUAGUUCAUCACGAAGCUCUUGUAGCUUGGUGGCAGUGAUUGGAGAAUUCUGUCAAUGAUGCAAUCAUCCGGAAGAUUAACUCCCAAUUGAAUCAAGUGAUUAUUAUACCCAGACAUUUUGAGUAUAUGCUCACUGACAGAACUGUUCUCCUCCAUCUUGCAGCUAUAGAACUUAUUGGAGACUUCAUAUCUUUCAAUCCGGGCAUUUGCUUGAAAUAUUAACUUCAACUCCUGGAACAUCUCAUAUGCUCCAUGACGUUCAAAACGUCGUUGAAGUCCCGAUUCUAAGCCGUAAAGCAUGGCACACUGAACUAUCGAGUAGUCAUCAGCUUUGCUCUCCCAGACGUUCAUAACAUCUCGUGUUGCUCCAGCAGCAGGCCUGGCACCCAGUGGUGCUUCUAGGACGUAAUUCUUCUGAGCAGCAAUGAGGAUAAUCCUCAAGUUACGGACCCAGUCCGUAUAAUUGCUACCAUCAUCUUUCAACUUUGCUUUCUCAAGGAACGCAUUAAAAUUCAACGGAACAACAACACGAGCCAUCUAUCUACAAUCAACAUAAACAAGCAAGAUACUAUCAGGUACUAAGUUCAUGAUAAGUUUAAGUUCAAUUAAUCAAAUUACUUAAGAACUCCCACUUAGAUAGACAUCCCUCUAAUCUUCUAAGUGAUUACGUGAUCCAAAUCAACUAAACCAUAACCGAUCAUCACGUGAGAUGGAGUAGUUUUCAAUGGUGAACAUCGUUAUGUUGAUCAUAUCUACUAUAUGAUUCACGCUCGACCUUUCGGUCUCCGUGUUCUGAGGCCAUAUUUGCAUAUGCUAGCCUCGUCAAGUUUAACCUGAGUAUUCUGCGUGUGCAAAACUGGCUUGCACCCGUUGUAGAUGGACGUAGAGCUUAUCACACCCGAUCAUCACGUGGUGUCUGGGCACGACGAACUUUGGCAACGGUGCAUACUCAGGGAGAACACUUCUUGAUAAUUUAGUGAGAGAUCAUCUUAUAAUGCUACCGUCAAUCAAAGCAAGAUAAGAUGCAUAAAAAGAUAAACAUCACAUGCAAUCAAUAUAAGUGAUAUGAUAUGGCCAUCAUCAUCUUGUGCUUGUGAUCUCCAUCUCCGAAGCACCGUCAUGAUCACCAUCGUCACCGGCGCGACACCUUGAUCUCCAUCAUAGCAUCGUUGUCGUCUCGCCAAUCUUAUGCUUCCACGACUAUCACUACUGUUUAGUAAUAAAGUAAAGCAUUACAUCGCGAUUGCAUUGCAUACAAUAAAGCGGCAACCAUAUGGCUCCUGCCAGUUGCUGAUAACUCGGUUACAAAACAUGAUCAUCUCAUACAAUAAAAUUCAGCAUCAUGCCUUGACCAUAUCACAACACAACAUGCCCUGCAAAAACAAGUUAGACGUCCUCUACUUUGUUGUUGCAAGUUUUACGUGGCUGCUACGGGCUUAAGCAAGAACCAAUCUCACCUACGCAUCAAAACCACAACGAUAGUUUGUCAAAUAGACUCCGUUUUAACCUUCGCAAGGACCGGGCGUAGCCACACUUGGUUCAACUAAAGUUGGAGAGACAGUCGCCCGCAAGCCACCUAUGUGCAAAGCACGUCGGGGGAACCGGUCUCGCGUAAGCGUACGCGUAAUGUUGGUCCGGGUUGUCUCGUCCAACAAUGCCGCCGAACCAAAGUAUGACAUGCUGGUAGGCAGUAUGACUUAUAUCGCCCACAACUCACUUGUGUUCUACUCGUGCAUAUAACAUCAACAUAAAUAACCCAUGCUCGGAUGCCACUGUUGGGUUUCGUAGUAAUUUCAAAAAAAUUCCUACGCACACGCAAGAUCAUGUGAUGCAUAGCAACGAGAGGGGAGAGUGUUGUCUACGUACCCAACGCAGACCGACUGCGGAAGCGCUGACACGACGUAGAGAAAGUAGUCGUACGUCUUCACGAUCCAACCGAUCAAGCACCGAAACUACGACACCUCCGAGUUCGAGCACACGUUCAGCUCGAUGACGAUCCCCGGACUCCGAUCCGGCAAAGUGUCGGGGAAGAGUUCCGUCAGCACAACGGCGUGGUGACGAUCUUGAUGUACUACAGCAGCAGGGCUUCGCCUAAACUCUGCUGCCGUAUUAUCGAGGACUAUGGUGGCUGGGGGCGCCGCACACGGCUAAGGAAUAGAUCACGUGGAUCAACUUGUGUGUUCUUUGGGGUGCCCUGCCUCUGUAUAUAAAGGACUAGAGGGGGGAGGCUGGCCGGCCAAGGGAGGGCGCGCCAGGAGAGUCCUACUCCCUCUGGGAGUAGGAUUCCCCCCCCCCCCCAAUCCUAGUUGGAAUAGGAUUCCUUGAGGGGGGAAAGAGAGAGAGGGGGCCAGCCACCUCUCCUAGUCCUAAUAGGACUAGGGGAAGGGGGGAGGCGCACAGCCACCUUGGGCUGCCCCUUUCUCCUUUCCACUAAAGCCCACUAAUGCCCAUAUAGCUCCCGGGGGGUUCCGGUAACCUCCCGGUACUCCGGUAAAAUCCCGAUUUCACCCGGAACACUUCCGAUAUCCAAACAUAGGCUUCCAAUAUAUCAAUCUUUACGUCUCGACCAUUUCGAGACUCCUCGUCAUGUCCGUGAUCACAUCCGGGACUCCGAAGAACCUUCGGUACAUCAAAAUGCAUAAACUCAUAAUAUAACUGUCAUCGUAACCUUAAGCGUGCGGACCUUACGGGUUCGAGAACAAUGUAGACAUGACCGAGACACGUCUCCGGUCAAUAACCAAUAGCGGGACCUGGAUGCCCAUAUUGUCUCCUACAUAUUCUACGAAGAUCUUUAUCCGUCAGACCGCAUAACAACAUACGUUGUUCCCUUUGUCAUCGGUAUGUUACUUGCCCGAGAUUCGAUCGUCGGUAUCCAAUACCUAGUUCAAUCUCGUUACCGGCAAGUCUCUUUACUCGUUCCGUAAUACAUCAUCUCACAACUAACAUAUUAGUUGUAAUGCUUGCAAGGCUUAUGUGAUGUGCUUUACCGAGAGGGCCCAGAGAUACCUCUCCGACAAUCGGAGUGACAAAUCGUAAUCUCAAAAUACGCCAACCCAACAUGUACCUUUGGAGACACCUGUAGUACUCCUUUAUAAUUACCCAGUUACGUUGUGACGUUUGGUAGUACCCAAAGUGUUCCUCCGGUAAACGGGAGUUGCAUAAUCUCAUAGUUAUAGGAACAUGUAUAAGUCGUGAAGAAAGCAAUAGCAACAUACUAAACGAUCGGGUGCUAAGCUAAUGGAAUGGGUCAUGUCAAUCAGAUCAUUCAACUAAUGAUGUGACCUCGUUAAUCAAAUAACAACACUUUGUUCAUGGUCGGGAAACAUAACCAUCUUUGAUUAACGAGCUAGUCAAGUAGAGGCAUACUAGUGACACUAAGUUUGUCUAUGUAUUCACACAUGUAUUAUGUUUCCGGUUAAUACAAUUCUAGCAUGAAUAAUAAACAUUUACCAUGAUAUAAGGAAAUAAAUAAUAACUUUAUUAUUGCCUCUAGGGCAUAUUUCCUUCAGGUUGCUGCCUAUUGAUUUGAAAAAUCGUUGACCCGAUCAAAAUUGUGAAGAAAACUUAAAAUUGAAUACAUUGAUCCAAUAGGAAAGCUCCGAAAUUAGGGAGCAUAUGAAUUAAAAGAAUUAAAUGAGAGAGCUCCUUACAAAAUUUUUAACCAGUCAAAAUCGGGUGACCCAAUUUUAAAUUGGAGACCUUAUUUGAUUAUGAGGCCUUAAAAAUUAGGUAGCAUGGUGUAUUUAUUAAAAGGGUUGGGCGCGCUUUAUUGUGCCGUUUGUAUUGUUGGGAUUUCAUAACGAUAGAAAUUGGUUUAAAGCAUGGGGUAGAUACUGAAGUGUGUUAUCUUUUUUAUAGUGUUUUUUUAGCAGUGUGAUUCUGUCAUCUGCUAAUCAACCCAUACAUGGGAAAGUUUGUAGGUGCAUGUAAUAUAUUAGUACUACCAUGCAUGUUUUGGCGCUUGUUAGGUGGUGAGAGGGUGUAUGGACUGAUGUGUUUUGAGGUUGUAUAUUAAUUUGAGAAGUUGUUUCAAAAUUGUGAAUCAAAUCAAAAAUUGAAUACCUCCACUAAAUGAGAGUUAGAAUGUAUUUUGAUCGGGUCAACGAUUCAUUGACACUAGAGUUAGAAUCCGCAUAUGUCGUUGUCGUCCCACACAUGGUGCCCCUUGAGCUUCAUACAAAAUGUAUAUGCAUGAAUGACAUGCCAUCGGUCCUGUAAUACAUCACAACAGUGCAUGCAAACUAUACAACAUUAGAGCAAUAUUGAGUGAAUGAAUGAAUUAACAAAUAUGUAGAAUAAGAAGAAUCAGUACUUGCGUUCUCGAUGGUUGACGAGCUCAAUGGCCACAUUGUCUCCACUCGGUGAAUCGCACCACAAAACUUCAUGACAGAGUUGCAUAUGAUGUACCAUUGAUGCGAUAUUCACAUUGUGUUCAUGGAUGACGUGCAUGCCCUAGGGCACAAAACUCUUUUGCUCAUGAAAUGAAGCAUGUACGCGCCGCCAAAAGGUCGAGCUCCUUUGGCUCAUGCUUACAAAGUCUGCAGAUACAACAGACCACACAUCGCACAUCAACUCAUCUUCCAUGACUGAGUACCCCAUCAUCAAAUUACUCUAGAAAACAACAAAGAAAUUAAUGGCAUUUGAUCAAACACCUGUCGGGUGUGAUGUCUGCCGUCGACAAGAAAGCGGAGGGUACAUGGCUGCGGAAGGAUCCUGUGUGGACGAUAGUGUACUCCAAGGCGGGCGUGCGUGUGGGUGGGUGAUACGUCUCCAACGUAUCUAUAAUUUUUGAUUGUUCCAUGCUAUAUUAUAUUCUGUUUUGGACAUUAUUGGGCUUUAUUAUACACUUUUAUAUUAUUUUUGGGACUAACCUAUUAACCGGAGGCCCAGCCCAGAAUUGUUGUUUUUGCCUAUUUUAGGAUUUCGCAUAAAAAGAAUAGCAAACGGAGUCCAUGCGGAAUGAAACCUUCGGGAACGUGAUUUUCGGAACGAACAUGAUCCAGAUGAUUUGGACCCUACAUCAAGAAAUCAACGAGGAAGGCACAAGGUAGGGAGCGCGCCUACCCCCCCCUCCCCAGGCGUGCCCUCCAUCCUCGUGGGCCCCCUGUUGCUUCACCAACAUACUCCUUCCUCCUAUAUAUACCUACGUAACCCCAAACUACCAGAUACGGAGCCAAAACCCUAAUUCCACCGCCGUAACUUUUCUGUAUCCAUGAGAUCCCAUCUUGGGGCCUUUUCCGGAGCUCCGCCGGAGGGGGCAUCAAUCAUGGAGGGCUUCUACAUCAACACCAUAGCCCCUCCGAUGAAGUGUGUGUAGUUUACUUCAGAUCUACGGGUCCAUAGUUAUUAGCUAGAUGGCUUCUUCUCUCUUUUUGGAUCUUAAUACAAAGUUCUCCCUCUCUCUUGUGAAGAUCUAUUCGAUGUAAUCUUCUUUUGCGGUGUGUUUGUUGAGACCGAUGAAGUGUGGGUUUAUGAUCAAGUUUAUCUAUGAACAAUAUUUCAAUCUUCUUUGAAUUCUUUUAUGUAUGAUUGGUUAUCUUUGCAAGUCUCUUUGAAUUAUCAGUUUCGUUUGGCCUACUAAAUUGAUCUUUCUUGCAAUGGGAGAAGUGCUUAGCUUUGGGUUCAAUCUUGCGGUGUCCUUUCCCAGUGACAGUAGGGGCAGCAAGGCACGUAUUGUAUUGUUGCCAUCGAGGAUAAUAAGAUGGGGUUUAUAUCAUAUUGCAUGAGUUUAUCCCUCUACAUCAUGUCAUCUUGCUUAAAGCGUUACUCUGUUCUAUUGAACUUAAUACUCUAGAUGCAUGCUGGAUAGCGGUCGAUGUGUGGAGUAAUAGUAGUAGAUGCAGGCAGGAGUCGGUCUACUUGUCUCGGACGUGAUGCCUAUAUACAUAAUCAUACCUAGAUAUUCUCAUAAGUAUGCUCAAUUCUGUCAAUUGCUCAAUAGUAAUUUAUUCAUCCACCGUAAAUACUUAUACUUUUGAGAGAAUCCACUAGUGAAACCUAUGGCCCCCGGGUCUAUCUUCCAUCAUAUUAAUCUUCCAAUACUUAGUUAUUUCCUUUGCCAUUUAUUUUACUUUGCAUCUUUUAUUUCUUUUUAUCAUAAAAAAUACCAAAAAUAUUAUCCUAUCAUAUCUAUCAGAUCUCACUCUUGUAAGUGACCGUGUAGGGAUUGACAACCCCUUACCGCGUUGGUUGCGAGGAUUUAUUUGUUUGUGUAGGUGCGAGGGAUUCGUGCGCAACCUCCUACUGGAUUGAUACCUUGAUUCUCAAAAAACUGAGGGAAAUACUUACGCUACUUUGCUGCAUCACCCUUUUCUCUUUAAGGGAAAACCAACGCAGUGCUCAAGAGGUAGUAGUGGGUUGCGUACAUCUGAGGAUGCCUGGACGGUGGCCGGAGAGGUACAACAUCGGCAACGGACAAGGAGAGUGCGGAUGCAAAACAAGAAGGGGGUGCAAGAAAAAUGGACCGGGAGGGGAAUUUGGGCGGGUCGGAGACGUCGGAGUCCUAUGUGACGGCGGUUCAGACUCCCAUAAAGAAUAACAUAUACAAUACUUAUAUUCAAACUAUGUUUAUGGAAUAGAUGUCUGGUUUGGUCGUUUAUAUUUUCGAGCAUCAAAUUCAUUGAUACAAAAAUCACUCUUUGGAUGUGAUGAGACUCCGGUGAGGCCAUAUUCUUUCCUUGAAAAAACCAGUAAAAAACUAAGUAAAAAUUGUUUCAAGACACUUUUAGCUAUGAAACAUUUUAAUCCAUGAGCUUGUGAGGAAUGCAAGUUCGUCGUCGACAUCUGUUUGGCCUUUGUCCGAAUCACAUGUUUUCUUUGCAAAACCUCUGAAGGCACAAGAAUUUACAUGGCCGUUUGGGUGUUCCUCUUGGGUCGGUGGCGCAAACAUGGGGUGUCAGCAAGCAGGAGAUUAUCCUAAAAAAGAAAAAUAUAUUGCCCUAAAAUAGAUUAUCCUGUAGCAAGCUAAUUAAGGCCAAUCAAUUUUUUUUAUUAGGAGGUCAAACGCGCAAACAUAGCGAGCCACGCGAGGAGAAUAUCAUCCCAGCAAAGCGAAUCAACCUGUGGUUGAGUUGGUUAGGUGGACAGUGAUAUCCGCAACCCACCAGGGUUCAAAUCCCGGUGCUCGCAUUAUUCCUGGAUUUAUUUCAGGAUUUCCGGCGAUGCGCUUUCAGUGGGAGGAGACGUUUCCGUCAACGACAAGGCGCCUACGGUGACUUCGUAAAUCUCAAGAUGGUAUGCCGGCUUAGUCUUUUAGAGGUGCUCAUAGGGGUAGGGUGUGCGUGUGUGCGUUCAUAUGGAUGAGUGUAUGCGCGUGUAUAUGAGCGCUUGUGUCUGUACUGAUGCUCAAAAAAAAUCAUUCCAGCAAAGCUAAUCUUUUUAGUACUUCCAGCAAGCUAACCUUCGUCAAGAAAAAGAAAAAGGAAAUCAAGUCAAAUCAAUGACCGUUCAUCCAUCCAUCCAUCCGCCGCCUAGCCGGACGGGUCGCUUCUUCCGGCCGUCCAAGCAACGAACUGGUUGUAGGUUGGCAGGUAUGAGGUAUCAUGUGGCAUACACUGAUUGAUGGGCUGCGCCACGUCGAGUCGCUGUGGAUGUAGGUAGACGGGAGGCUGGUCAGACAAAGUGAAUGCACGGAGAAUUCUAGAGCGAAGGCAGAGAGGUUUUCUGGGUGAGUUCGACGUGUUGGAGUUCGACGUAACAGACAUCCGGACUUGUUUGAAGACACUUUUAGUUACGAAACAAUUUAAUCCAUGAGCUUGUGAGCAAUGCAAGUUUGUUAUGUUUUCCCUUUUUGUGGGAUACAUUUAUUUCAUCACUCAUAAAAAAAGAGAAUAAGUUUGUUGUGGUUCAAAUUCGUCGAAGUCACUUUUGCCUUGUCCGAAUCACACGUUUUCUCCGCAAAACCUCUGAAGCCACAGGAAUUUACGCAAAUGAGGUCUUUCUCUUGGGUCGGUCCAACGCCGGGACGCGCAAACAUCACGCCGUACUCAAAGGAGGAUAUUAUUCUAGCACCGACUACUAAAAUAGGAUCAUCAUCCUGCCCUAAAAAAAUUUAUCCUGGCAGGCUAAUUAGGGCGAAGCAAGGUUUAUAUUAAGGGGUUCUAAAAGAAGGUUUGUAUUAAGGGAGGUCAAACACGCGGACACGGCGACCAGCGCAAGGGGAAUACGAAUACGACCCCGGCAAAGAAAGGCAAUUACCUCCCCCUUUCAUAAUUUGCUCCCCCCCUCCCUCCCCCGAGAAUGACAGGUGAGGCCCGGGACCGCCCGUCAUUGAGACAAUGGGUGGCAAAUUGUGAAAAGGAGAAGUAAGGGGUGGUAAAUUAUCAAAUCGCCCACAAAGAAAUCAAGGCGAAUCGACGACCGUGCGCGCAUCCAUCCGUCCGUCGCUCGGUCGCCCUCCAGCCGUCCAAUUCCAAGCAACGACCCAACUGGCUGUAGGUUGGCAGGCAGUAGCAGUAUCUCCGUGGCGUACGUUCCUCGAUGGACCGCACCCAGCCGCGCAGACAGACCCGCGACACGUCGGCGUACACCGGACGCUGACCGGAUACGACCAGCGGGCUCGACGAACCCGGCGCGAUCGCUCCAAGUGGAUGCAUCCCGAUUUCCCGAUCCAUCCAGGUCCAGCCAACGCUACCAGUGUGGCCUCGUCACCACGUGGUCGUCGCGGGCGCCUCCACCGGGCCAGAUCCGCCACCGUGUGUGAGCAAGUCACCACGGAGCUACCCCUCAAAAAAAAAAAAGUCACCACGGAGCUGGGGGUUAGCGGGCCGAGGAAUAAAUAGAGGACCGGGCAUCCCGGCCGGCGGCGACAACCGCACCGCACCGCGCCCACAGACGCACGCCACGCCACUCAGCGCCUCGGCAACACCGCGUCCCUGCUCGCGCCUCGGCCGCCCGGCUGGUGGGGAUCGACCCGUCCGCCGCCGCCGGAGAUCGCUGCUGGCGAGGGCCUGAAGAGGGGGCGGGGAUUUGAUUUGCGAUUUCGGUUCGUGCGGCUGCGGCGAUGGGGGUGCUGUCGCGGCCGGAGGAGGUGCCGGCGCUGCUCAGGCUCAAGCUGGCGGCGGGGCGGAUCAGGCGCCAGAUCCCGCCCCAGGAGCACUGGGCCUUCGCCUACGACAUGCUCCAGCGGGUCUCCCGCAGCUUCGCGCUCGUCAUCCAGCAGCUCGGCCCAGAGCUCCGCAAUGCCGUAAUUCCCCCUUCCCCUUCCCCUCCGGAUCCCAUCCGGUCGGACCGCUUCAUACAGUAGAUUUGAUUCGGGCGACUCUCUGAAACGCGCACGGCCGCUGACGCUGCUCUGGUUCCCACUCUGCAGGUGUGCGUCUUCUACCUCGUGCUCCGGGCCCUGGACACCGUCGGUCAGCACCCUCACUCCUGCUGCUCGCUAUGUUUGUUUGAAUUCGUUUUGCCGCGUUUGAUGGAAUCUUUUGGGCCAAGUUCAUCGCUGCCUUCCUUUUUACUAGUACGGUAGUACCAACCACCGUUUGCUCACUGCGAUUACUAUAACUGCAGAGGACGACACCGCCAUCCCUAACGAGGUCAAGCUGCCCAUCCUUCGGGACUUCUACCGCCACAUCUACAACCCGGACUGGCUUUUUUCAUGUAUGAUCGGAUCUCUCUCUCUCUCUCUCUCUCUCUCUCUCUCUCUCUCUCUCUCUCUCUCUCUAAGAGCAAGCUGUCCUUGUGCUCAAUUAUGCUAUUCUUCUUGUUGAUCUUAUCAUGUAUGUACUUUGGCCUUCAGGUGGAGCAAACGACUACAGAGUGCUCAUGGAUAAUUUUAGACAAGUCUCCACCGCUUUCCUGGAGCUAGGCGAAGGGUAAUAAUUCCUGUUCCUCAGCUUCAGAGCGAUCCAAAUCAUUUUCUGUACUACUUUCCUAGUAGUAGUUCCCAGUAUGCGGUUGGGAACUUGUGCUUUCGUACGAAUUGUUGUUUUGUCAAAGUCCUUGGGGGACACAUCAAUCAUUUAGUCAGCACUGAUAGUAUCACUUUUAUAAAAGUAUAAUAUAAACGCAAGACUUCUUUAAAUAUGGGGCUUUUAUUGGCUAUUAUUAGUGCCCACCAAUGAAAUUGUUAUGUCAUAGCCAGGUUUGUACGGGUGAAGUAGAGAAAAGACGAAGUAAAAUGCUCAUAGUUACACUUACAGGAGAACCAGACAAAGAACUGAACAGUCGGAUGUACUUGUAUGCUCUGAAGGUUUUCUUUAUUGUUCUCAGAAUCAUAAGCACUAGAGCUUAUGCCAACUUUUGCUUGCUUUGUGUUGAGUAUUUCUUCCAGGUGGUAUAAAUGACACACCCUCUCAUGUUUUAUUAUCUGCAUGCCAUUUGUGCAGUGGCACUUUAAUUUGUGAAGCCAUAUUUAGAGAAGACAUUUUACUACACUAGACACGUUUUGCCAUCUAGCAGAUGUUUAUAUGCAAGAAAGCAAAUGUUACAUAUCUACUGUCCGUUUUCAGAACCAGGCUAUUAAAGUCAUCGUACUAGUACUUCACAUUAUUGCAAAUGAAGCUUUCUUUUCCGCGUUUGUUUUUUCAUCAGACACAGUUCGUUCAUUAAGUGCAGGUAAGUUCUUUUGAAACUUGCAGAAUAUAAUUAUCUCUGUUUUGUUUUCAGAUACCAAAAGGCUAUUGAAGAAAUCACUAGGCGAAUGGGAGCAGGAAUGGCUAAAUUUAUAUGCACGGAGGUCUGUUAAUCUAGAUCACCCAAUAUAUUCAAGCUUUUUUUUUCUUGCAGUCAAAUUUAUCAAUGCUUUCCUUUACGUAAUGUUUGGUCACUCUAUCAAAUUUCUGUUGUUGGUUUGUCAUAGCAAUCUGUUAAAUGUUUGGUUACUCUACUCUACGUAAGGAAGAUGGUUGGGGGCAUUGUGGCAUAGAUAAAUGCCCUGUUCAAGAAUUCACCCGAUUAACCAGUUAACUUGCCGAUUAAUCCCUACUCAUAGGGUCACCGAGUAGCCAAUAAACUGAUAAAUCGUCCGAUUAAUUGAUUAAAUGGACGAUUAACUUGCCGAUUAGCCUAUUAAUCCCCUACUAACCAGCCAACCGAGCAGUUACCAGUUAACGAUUUCCUCAACAAUAAAUGUAGCUGUCACAUUAAUAAUGAAAAACACUUUGCCAUGACUUUCUGAUGUACCACAAGAACUUUGAUACAGCUAAACUUUCCCUUGGUGACUUGUGGUCAACAGAAAAUAUGCCACACGAUUAUCUCGAUCUGGACGACUAAAAAGCUACUCCUUCCGUAAAACGUGACUUGAUACAUCCGUAUUUAGACAAAUCUAAGACAUGAAUUUUGGGACGAGGGAGUAUUUGAUAUCAUAUUUUCUUUGGGUGUUGAGAUCCGUGAAUAGAAGUGAUACAUGUUUAACUUGCUUCUGGUUAUUAAUUUAUUUAUUAAGUUUGAUAUUGUUAUUUGUUUGAAUUAAUUUGGAACAACUUUAUUUUGUAGGUUGAAACCAUUGAUGACUAUGAUGAGUACUGCCACUAUGUAGCAGGGCUAGUAGGCUAUGGACUUUCUAGGCUCUUUCAUGCUACUGGCACAGAAGAUUUGGCUCCGGAUCAUCUUUCAAAUUCAAUGGGUUUAUUUCUACAGGUAGGUUUAGUUCAAUCAAAUUUCUGUACUUGAACUAUCAUGACAAAAUAAGAACUUGUUUUUUACAUUUAACUCUGUAACUAAUGUUGGACUUCCACCUGCAGAAAACCAAUAUAAUAAGGGAUUAUUUGGAGGACAUAAAUGAGAUACCAAGGUGCCGUAUGUUCUGGCCUCGGGAAAUAUGGAGUAAAUAUGUUGAUAAACUUGAGGUACAUCAACCCAUCAAAUAAGGGAAUUGCAUAUGAAUCAUAUUGUAAAAUAUUUGGUUGAACAGUUAAUAAUGAAAUCUAAAUGUCCAAUCCAAUCCUUUUACCUUUGUUAAAAAGUCUACACUCAUCCCUUCAUCACAUUUUUUUGUUGAAGUAGCACCCGCAUUUUUGUGCUCCACAAUAAUGCUUUUUUGUUUUGGGAUAUAAAUCAGGAUUUAAAAUAUGAGGAAAAUUCAGAAAAGGCCGUGCAGUGCUUGAAUGAUAUGGUGACCAAUGCUUUGAUCCAUGCCCAAGAUUGCCUUCAAUACAUGUCAGCAUUGAAGGACAAUUCCAAUUUUCGAUUUUGUGCAAUACCUCAGGUACACUAGUGCUAGUUUCUCCUGUUACAAUCUUCAGUUAAAAUGUCCUGUUAGAGUUUCACUGUCUAUCAGGACUAAAUAAUGUCUUUGCAAAACACUGCCUAACAAUCUAGUGGUACAUAACUGAAACUUGCUCAUAGCUCAGAAUAGAUUUAUGGUACUAGCCAUGAUUUAUGAUAAUUGAGUCUUUAUUAUUUUGGUUCCUGGAUGUAAUUGGUGUUGGUAGGUGCCAAGGAUUAAAGAUAGGCAUACCAUGUUUCAUGUUUGUAAUUGACGUAUUACAUUCUGUGGCAAUCAGUAAUGAUAUGUUUUAUCCAUGGGCACAAGGUUGUAACUUAAGGAUUGAUCUAUACCAGCACACAAUUUUCUUUCAGACCUGUUCUGCUUCCCUUUUUGUAUACAUACUCAACAUUUGUACCGUUGCUAGUGGAAGUAGUUGCUACUCAAGCUAGUUUUCAGCAAUAAUAACAUAAGCCUUAUGAAACGAAACACUAGCUAUUUUGCAAUGUUAAUAUCUUCCAUUGUGUGUCAUGGCUGAUUGGCCUUCUAAGUAUUGAAUUGGAGAUAUGUGAUAUUUUGCUCUUGUUUUUACCAUCUUCAUCAAAGUUCAAUAGCAUUCCUAGACCCUAGUUAUACAGUGGUGGGUGCUAUGAUUUGACUUGCCUUUUUUUGUUGAAGUAUGGAUCUUCCAUCUAAUCUUGAAACAACUUUAUUUACCACAUAUUUUUCAACUGUUUGUCUUUUCAGAUAAUGGCAAUUGGGACCUGUGCUAUUUGCUACAAUAAUGUGAAAGUCUUUAGAGGAGUUGUUAAGAUGAGGCGUGGUAAGACAUAUUUAGUUCAAGUUGACAAGCUGUACUAGCCUGCAAUUAACCAGAAAAUACCCGUUUGAUCACCUCUUUACACUAUGUUUAGGAAUUUAAUGUGGAUAAAUUAUGCAGUACUCUACUUCUUUAUAUCACAUUUGUACAUAUGGUUGUUGUAUGAUUAGGAAUCAACACGACAAAUCACAUCAUGGAGUGCUUCAAUGUUCCUUGGCAUCAGAAAAUACAAUUGCUACCUUUUAGUUUAAUUUGUAGUCUAAUUUUAUAUUAUUUCCCAAAGUAUCAUAGGAUCCACCUUAGGCAUUAUGAUUUAGUAGUUAAAUUAUGACCAUUCUUAUUAUGUGUGUGUGUGUGNNNNNNNNNNNNNNNNNNNNNNNNNNNNNNNNNNNNNNNNNNNNNNNNNNNNNNNNNNNNNNNNNNNNNNNNNNNNNNNNNNNNNNNNNNNNNNNNNNNNNNNNNNNNNNNNNNNNNNNNNNNNNNNNNNNNNNNNNNNNNNNNNNNNNNNNNNNNNNNNNNNNNNNNNNNNNNNNNNNNNNNNNNNNNNNNNNNNNNNNNNNNNNNNNNNNNNNNNNNNNNNNNNNNNNNNNNNNNNNNNNNNNNNNNNNNNNNNNNNNNNNNNNNNNNNNNNNNNNNNNNNNUGCGUUCUUCUUGGAUAGAUGAGUUGACAUUUGAGUAGAAGAACCUCAGUUUCCGUAAUCAGAUAAGAAGAAGCAAACUAUAGUUUGCUUUUCUGCUUUUCUUGUUGUGCUCUUUCUGCCAAGACUGUUAUUAUUCUUUUAACCAACGGCUACCUAUGUUUAGUGUAUUGAAUAAUUUGCAUAUUUCAGUCAUGUGUAACUUUCUAUUUCUUCUGACCUGAGCGCAACCUAACAUGUACUCCCUGUCUCUCAGGGCUCACUGCACGGGUAAUUGAUGAGACCAAAUCGAUAUCAGAUGUCUAUUCUGCUUUCUAUGAAUUCUCUUCAUUGCUAGAGUCGAAGGUAUGUUCUGGAGUAUGGAUGCAAAGGAAAACGGAGUCUAGUCUAGCAUACAUAUAAUUGAACAUUCAGAUAUUUUGUCCUGUUACACAAAAAAAUGAUAUAGUUGUUGGAUAAUGUUUUCAUUGUUUUGACCAAGGCAGUCCUGUAGAUUUAGGGAUCGCAGCUUAGAAUGGCUUGCUUUUGAGCUCAGAAAUCCAUAAGUGGGUAGCUUUGCUUCAAGAUGAUGGCGUGCUAAGCUCUUGACUUCAUAUCUGUUUGUAUAAACUUGAUAUUUUCCUUUUUGACCAUCUGAUAGUUUUGCUCCAAACGGCAAAGUUUAGGGAAAACUCCUUACUGUCCUUCACCCAUGUUGCUGUUAGUGACGGCCUUUGAUGGUUACCUCAGUUGUUCUCUAGCUGUGAUUUUAUCCAUAAUAUGUUUGGUCGCCAUGCCCAGAUUGAUGAUAACGACCCAAAUGCUGCGCUGACACGGAGGCGUGUGGAUGCAAUAAAGAAAACUUGCAAGUCAUCCGGCCUGCUGAAGAGAAGGUUUGCUGCAUGAUUUAGAGUUGUACCUUACUGCUGAUAUCUUCAUCCUCACUGAUUGUCUGGUUCUACAGGGGUUAUGAUCUGGAGAAAUCAAUGUACAGAAUGCCUAUGCUGGUGAGUAAUGAUAUACAUAGAUAUAUAUAAGCUGAGAAAUCCUGCAAGUUCUCUGUUGUAUAAUUUUCUCAAGCCGCUUUAUGUGACAUCAUCAGGUCAUGAUUGUGCUUCUCUUGGUGGCUAUUAUCUUGGGUGUACUGUAUGGCAAGUGAUCCGGUCAAGAUCUCCCUCUUAUGUUCUUAGUGGCACCGCCUUCCCUGUAUGGUACGUUGAUCUAUUUCCUGUAACAGCUCGACGAUAUUUCUUCUGCAUUACAGUGCUGAUUGAGGUCUGCUUUUCUGUAGGUUUUGCACGUGUACCUCCUGACUGCAGAUGGAUAUGUUUGGUUUGCAUGUAGUAUUGUGCUAUGUACCCUGCUGGUGCCAUGCAUGCUAAUUCUUUUUGUUCUUUGUUUCUGUCGUCCCGUAUGUUGUUUCAGCUUGUAAUUUGUUUGAAUCUCUAGGAGAGACUUACUUAGUGACAUGUAUCCUAUGAAUUUGGCGUGGCGCCUUGGUUGACAGUGAUGCUGCAUUUUGUUGAUUUGUGACUGAUGUAUGUGAUGCAUAUCAUUUUGCCGUGCCACCUGUGCAAUUUGAUUAUAGUUGCCCAACAGGCUUGUGGUUGGGCUCUUAUUUUUUUUUCAAUAUACAAUGCAGCGGGGAAUCCAGGAAAACGACCUUACGCCAAACUCCUUACUGUUUUUCUUAAUUUGCAUACAAGUUUGGUCUCAAGUCAAACUUCAUAUCUUUGUGCUCCGCAUGUAAGCCUUGUCUUAAGUCAAGCUUUGUAAAAUUUGAGCAAGAUUAUAUGAAACAAUAUCAAAUCAAUAUCGUUAGAUGCAUCAAAGAAUUAAUUUUUAUAUUGUACCAUAUCUUUAGUAUUGUAGUAGAUGUUGAUAUGUUCAAUGUAAACUUGGUUGUACUUUAUGAAUUUCGACUUGAGGGAGGACAUACAACCAACAGCAACCAAAACGUAGGUAGAAAACACUCUGAACUUGUAACAGAGGUGAUAGUAGCUAGCUGGUAUAGAUCAAUCUCUCUCUAGGUAGCAGUUUGCACUGGCGAUUACCAAGGGAAUUACAGAAUGAAUCGAAGAAGAAGAAGAAGAGGCAACUUAGCAGGGGAAGGAGGAAGGAACGAGAAAGUGGUAGUCGCCGCCGGUGCCUGUGAUCCGCUGGAUACUCUGCUCCCUCAUACUUGUAGCUGCAGCGUGGGGUCGCGGACGGGCCAAAUCCAUGGGCUGACCCAAGGGGUACAUGUUAGAGCAUCUCUAGCAGAUCCUUUAAAACGCACGAAACUGUAAAAUAACCGCCGCUUUAUAGUUUUAGACGAAAAAACAACGCGGAUAGAACCCGUAAACUACUCCAACUUGUAGAAUUUUUGAAGGGGCAUGGAAAACACCCUCACUGAACAUGUGAAAAUAAGGAUUUCGGAGCCAACUGCCAUCGAAACCUUCAUGGCUCGCUCCGCCGCCCUGCGCGUCCCCGCCUCUGCUCACCGGAUCAAAGCCUUAUCGUCAUAUCCCUCGACCUCCACCGCUUGAGCUCGCCGUGACGUUCUUAAGCAAAAGAAAGACGCAGACUGAAACAAAGCCUGUGACAAACUAAUGCAGCCAAUAUGGUUGAUCACAUGAAGAACAUGCUGUGGAAGAACAUGCCAAACUAACACCUUGAUACGAACUGGGCAUGACAAUCCGUUGCAAGUGGUCAUCAGCUCAAUGCCAUCUUUGCCUAGGGCGAUGGUCGCUUUGCCUUUUUCCUAACUAAAGCGAUCCUCUUUGCACUCCUACAUGCAUUAGAAUUCUCAUAUUUUUCAUAUACUACUAGACUGCUAAUCUCACCAUAAGAAUACGCAAAUUAGGAGCUUCAACGGAUAUUGUGCAAACUAGUGAUCCAGCAGUACCAGCAUACAAGUAACCAGAAGAUUUGGACAGUGCAAACAGUUUGUUAAAGAAUGCCUAAAGCACAAUUGGACAGGUUACGUAGACUGUAGUUACAGAUGUUGCGUGUUGUAGAAUUGCACGAGAAUUGAGACUACACACAUCCAGCUUCUUGGUAUUUCGUAUCUUCACAAAAAAAUAGUGACUGCAUGCUGAUAUUCUAAAUAUGAAUAGCGAGUACCCAUACAUGCAAACAGGCUAUAAUCACAACCACAAAAUCCAAUGACACCAAUUUUCUUUGUAUUCAUGCAAACAGGCUAUAAGCAAACGUGUGUCACAAUAUUUUUAUGUGGGGGAAGUAAAAUUUUCGAAUGGGAAAGAGGCCAUCCAGGAUUUCACAAGGUUAUAUUUGGAUAUGAUUCCAGAAGGCAAGCAAACUCAGCAUUCCAUGACGCAGGCAAGCGAUAAAACAGUAGAGAGCAGAAAGGAUCCAAUCACUAUUGCUAGUAAAGAAGCAGAAGCGCAACAAUGACCACCGACCAACCCACCCAACAAUAAACAUCAUCCAAAAACUACAGCAGCAGCAACAGGAAAUUAGCCCACCCGGACUUUGAUGCCAGUCAGAAAAUAACCAGUACACGGGAAACACAAGUGCGGUGACAACCAGGCACAAAAUAAGGUAAAUGGGGGCAAGGGCACCAUACCCACACCACGGUGACUACAAACCCCAAUAUCUGUUUUCAGCUAAGUCAAUAGAAUACCAUCCAUCCAUCGGUUUCAUUUCAAUUCUCAACAUUACCAAUCCAUCAGUCCCACGAGCUAGACGCACCUCCACCAUAACCUCCACCACCACCGUACCCGCCACCACCACCACCGCCGUAACCGCCACCUCCUCCACCGCCACCGCCCCUCGUGUCGCGA